UGUGAUAAAAUGCUGUCGUUGAAUAUAUUAUAGCUCAGGUCCAGGUUCUCGAGUUUCCCCAAAUGUGAUGAUAUGAUCUCAAAACCUGCAAGGAGUUGUUUCUAAGAGUAAGUCAUAAUUAUGAGCUCACGAUAUGCAUAAUAUAUAGAAACUAAAGAUAAUUAGAAUUGAUGAGAUGUUGUUCAAUUGAUAUAUGAUUCUCAAAUUAUACAUAAAAAGAAUGAUAUAUGAACGCAUAUUUAAUUAUAUAAUAGAUUAAGAAAUAAUUUAUGGAUAAGAUCAAAGCUCCAUAGAUAUUAAUCUUCAUAGAUGAAAUUAAAGCGCAAUCAAACAUGAUGAAAUGCUAUCGUUGAUUUUUAAAUAUAUAUAAAGUCCUCAAUUUUCUUGAUAAACAGAAUGCAACUUACUAUUGAUAGAUCCUGUCAGCUGAUUGUUUGACAGAUCCAAAGACUUGAGAGAUGAAAACCCAGUUAGAGAUGGAAAAAUGCUAUCGUUGUAUUGAUUCCGUCUUAGAUGAAGGUUCUCAAGCUUUUUCAACCUUGAUGACAAGACUUUGAGACCUGCAUGAUGUUCCUCAAAAGCAUAGAAAUGAUACAUGAACGCAUAUUUAAUUAUAAAAUAGGUUGUGCACGCUUCUAAGAUUAAGAUACAAUUUUUAAAUAUCAUUCUAAUUUUGAUCAUUGGAAAAAAAAAAACAAUUUACGGUUAUAAAGUCGCUAAAGAUGGAAGCUAAGUUAUGAUAGACUUACAAAACAAAAUAAAGAAACUUAUAAUUAAGAUCUCAUCGGUAAUUAAAACAAGAAUAAUAAUCGAUCCAUGUAAGUUCAAAUAUUGCCUAAUUUUGAAAAACUAAUUAAUUAGUUAUGAUAGUUUCAAAAACUAACUGCCUCUGUAAGAUGCUAAAUGCCUCUCUCGUUGGCUGUCUAGUGAUUUGUAUUGGAUAGUUUUUUUUUGAAUUGAUGUUAAGAUCCAAGUUUUAAUAAUUACAAUUUUCUUAAUUAUAUAUAAUAUUAUAGGAGAGAGCUUCUUAUUAUGUUAUUCAAAACCCAUUCAAACUCAAAUUCAUAAAAAAAAAUACUUAGAGUUGUGUUCGACUAAGGAUCUCAAGACAGAAAAAACAUAUAUAAAAAUAUAUUUAUUUAAAAAGAUAAAUAUAAAAUAUAUAUUUAUAGGAGAGUUUUGAAGUGAACUUCUGAUUGCUAAUUUAAUCUAAAUAUUACAACACUUUUGGCAUAAAAGGGCCAAAAUAAGAAUAAAAUAUAUGCCUCUUUACGUAGAUAUAAAGUUCUCAUUUUUGUUGAUAAAGAAACAAUAUAAUUAAGAGAAUGUCAUGUGAAGCAUUUAGGUAGAAACUGUGUAUUAUACCUGAUCCUGUCAACUCAUUGUACGACAGAUCCAAAGACUUGAGGGAUGAAAAUCCAGUAAGAGAUGGAAAAAUGCUAUCGUUGCAAUGAUUCCAACUUAGAAGAAGGUUCUCCAGCUUUUUCAACCUUGAGGACAAGACUUUGAGACCUAAAUAGCAGCUACCUCCUGAUCAUUUAAAUGCGUAGAAAAAAAUGAUAUGAGAAGGAGAAAAGAAAAGGUUUCGAAGCUAAAUAAUUAAAAGGUUACCAUAGAAGCUACCUCCUGAUCCAGCUGUCAACCCAUUCUCUGAUAGAUCCAAAGACUUGAGAGUGGAAAGGUUACCAUUGAAACAUGACAAAAUGCUUUUAUCAUUAUUAAAUCCGUUAUAACUUAGGUCAAGUUUCCUCAGUUUUGAUGAUAGGACUUCGAAGCCUGGAAAGAGCAAGAUAAUUGACAUUAAACACCAACCAACCUUCAUUUAUUUUAUGAUUAUAUUUAAGUGCACAAACAUUGAACUAACCUUCAUUCUCCAAGCAACCAACCAAUCCAUUACCUUCCAAUUCAAGACUUUGCAAUUCUUUAAAAGGCUGAAACAAAGAUGCGUUGAGAACCCAAUCGCCCAAGCUCUCGUCCCUUGAUCCUCUAAGAGAGAGUUGGAUCACUCGCCUUGUAGUGUUAUCACACUCGAUCCUAUGCCACUCACAACAAUUACUACCGUCCACCCAAUCUCUCAAGGAAACGCCAUCUGGGUCGAUCGAAGAUUGGAUCUCCAAGAGACCAAUCCUCUCUUCCUCCAAACACCCAUAACAACGACCAUACCAUUCGCCAACCAAAGUCAAUAAUGCUAGCAACAUCCAACUCCCCAUUCUUUUCAUCAUCAUCUACGUAGAAUAUUGUUGUUUGUUAUGUGUCUUUGGGCAACCAUAGAGGUCCUAUUUAUACUACAAUUUUGGCCAUUUCCAUGAUUUUAUCUGCAUAUCUUAUGCAGGUUCUAUGUUUUGAGAUUUGAAUAUUAUUUUAUUUCCUUUUGGAAUAUUCUUGGAUUCGAAUAUUAUUUUAUUUUACUGUUUAGCACUUAGUCUAUUUGCAUUUAAUUAUAUUUUGGUUACUAAUUAUCCAAUUUUAAAAAAAUAAAAAAUAAAAAUUGUUGCAACAUUUCAAUUUUUUUAUCGACAUUCAUGUGUGAUUUCACGUAAGAUCUUUUUAAAUUUAUAAUUGUACUUUUCUCGUUAUAAUUUAGAAUUAUUUAGGAGCCUACUUGCAUGGUGUCAUCACUAUUAUAUAUAAUUAAAUACAUAAAUUAUCAAUAAUAAUAAAUUCGGAAUAAUUAUAAAUCUUAUCCCUGUGGAUUGUGUGGCUACAGUAUGAUAUACAAAAACUUCAAAUAUAUAUAAAUAAAAGAAUGCUAAAAGUGACAUUCUCUUGGGUGACCACCACAAGCCCAUCUAAAACACACAAGCCAUAUAAAAAUCACACGACAGCCAAUUACCUUAUCUUGUGAGAAAAAAGAUUAAAAAAAAAAAAAGCAUUUUCUUGGGUGUGCAAUGACUGCCAAUCUUUCUCGUUAUGACAUUCAAUGCUCUGUAAGAAGUUGCAUGAUGCUCUUCUCAUGGGGAGCAAAAAUCAGUAGCCUCCCAUGGAAUCCUCAUAAACCUUUCUCUAUGCUCUUCUAAGAUAUUAAAAAUGUCAAACAUACAUAAAUAAUAAGAAAAACAAUAAAAAAAGAAAGCUAUACAAAUAGAGCUUCCAACAAAAAGACUAGGAAGUUGUUUACUGAAAAUUGAGAUUCAUAAUUUGUUUUGAUUUGUUUUGAUUUGUUUUGAGUUAUUAUGGUCUCAUGACCCGGGUCACAGAUUUAAAGGUUAAUCUAGAUUGACCCGGGUCGAUUAAUCCAAUAUGUUGUUGUUUCGAUAUACUUUUUUUAAAAAAAUAUGUCAUCUUGAUUUUUUUCAAGUGAAACUAUAUUUUUACCAGUCGUCCAGACAAUCUUUGAGCCCAUCGAAUCGAUCGGGUUAUAUCAAUUUAACUCUUAUUUUUUUAUUUAUAUUUGAAAUUUAAAUUGCAUAAUUUUUUACUUAUUUUUUUAUAUAGGUGGUUAUGAGUUACAAAAAUUAAGCAAUUUCGAGUAUAUUGACAUGAGAAUUAAUGGUUUCGAUAACAAUAUUCUAUCAUUUGUAGAGGGAUUUUCAUCUUUUAAAUCACUAUAUUUAGAUUAUAAUAGACUGGAAGGGUUAAUAGAUUUAAAAUGUUAGUUUUUUUAUAUACUUAUUUUUUCUCUAUUAAAUUUAAUUUCAAAAGAACACAAUUUUCGAUAACAGUAUUCUAUCAUGCAAUUUUUGUUUUGUUUCAAAAGAACACAAUCGCCCAAGCGGAAAUCCCUUGCAUAGAAAAGAGAGAGUUGGAUCACUCGCCUUGUACGUAGUGUUAUCACACUCGAUCCUAGGCCACUCACAACAAUUACUACUGUCCACCCAAUCUCUCAAGAAAAAGCCAUCUGGGUCGAUCAAAGCUUUGAUCUCCAAGAGACCAAUCCUCUCUUCCUCCAAACACCCAUAACAACGACCAUGCCAUUCGCCAACCAAAGUCAAUAAUGCUAGCAACAUCCAACCCCCCAUUCUUUUCAUCAUCAUCUACGUAAAAUAUUGUUGUUUGUUAUGUGCUUUUGGGCAACCAUAGAGGUCCUAUUUAGACUACAAUUUUGGCCAUUUCCAUGAUUUUAUCUGCAUAUCUUAUGCAGGUUCUAUGUUUUGAGAUUUGAAUAUUAUUUUAUUUCUUUUUGGAAUAUUCUUGGAUUUGAAUAUUAUUAUUAUUUUAUUGUUUAGCACUUAGUCUAUUUGUAUUUAAUUAUAUUUUGGUUACUAAUUAUCCAAUUUAUAAAAAAAAAUAAAAAAUAAAAUAAUUGUUGCAGUACUUCAGCAUUGUUAUCGACAUUCGUGUGUGAUUCCGUAUAAGAUCUUUUUAAUUUAAUUGUACUUCUCUCGUCAUAAUUUAGAAUCAUUUAGAACCCUAUUUGUGUUAUGACUAUCAUAUAUAUAAUUAAAUACAUAAAUUAUCAAUAAUAGUAAACUCAGAAUAAUUAUAAAUCUUAUCCCAGUGGAUUGUGUGGCUACAGUAUUUUAUACUUCAAAAUAUAUAUAUAUAUAUAAAAGUUAGAGCUGCUUUUGUUUUUAUGUUCGGAAAGGUAUUCUUGACUUGUUUUUAUUACAUUUCAAUAUUAUUAUUUUUUUUCAAUCGAGUCAAAGAUAUACCAUUUAUAUUAGAAUGAGAAGACUAAUCAAUUUCUCUAGUUUUCUCCCUAUUUAUAAAAUACAUCUGGUUUUUGAAGUCCAGAUUUUAGGAUAAAAGGAAUUUAUUUCUUGAAAUUAAUGCAUUAAACAAUAUAAAGAUAUUUUUUAAAAAUUAAAAUAGUAGUAAAAGUAAAUUUAGUUUUUGAUUGAAGUGUAAACUAGUGGUAAAUGAACAAAAAAAAAAAACUUUCUUGAUUAUCUAAUGGAAACUCCGCCUAAUAUAUAUAUAAUAGCAAUCAUUUUCUUAUCUCUUGUAUCAUUCAUAUCUUCCACAAAUCUUAAGUAAUUGAUGAGAAAGUGGAUAUUGCCAAGAAAGGUCGUGAACGCGGAUGCUUGACUUGCUGCGUGGCAUUUUGAUUUUUAAACACAACACUACUUUCUUUGUGGAAAUAACGCUACUUUGCAUGAAGAUGAUGGAUAUAGAAGACUUGCUACUUGUUUUAUGGAAAUAACGUAUGGAAAAUUAUGCUUUAAUUUUAAUGAUGAUAGCAAAAUCAAACAGUAUUGUUGAUAAAAUGAGCCAUAAAUAAUAUUAUUUCUAUUGUCAUGACAAUAAGUUUUUUUUUUUUUUUUUCUAAAGAGUCUAUUUUUCCUCUAGGAGAGGCCGCGAGACGUCCUCUUCCAACCAUCAUGCAUUUUUUCUACGAGAUGGGUUCAUGGAAAUACUUUGGUUUAAUUGGGAAUGCUGUUAUUGAUUGAAAUAUUUUUAAUUAAAAUAAAUUUGAUUAUUUGAUUGGAAAAAAAAUAUUGUAACCAAGUAAUUUAUUUAUUUAUUUUAAUGAAAUAUAAAAUAGUUUUAAAUCUUGUGGUAUAUUUCUUGUCUUUAAGAGCUAUGAACUUAUAUCUCAAAACUUGAAAACUAAUAUAAAGAUAUUAAGUGAUCAUUGAGUGUGUGUGUGUGUAUAAUCCUUUUCAAAACAAAAAGGAUUUUGAUGGAGAUUAGGACAUUGCAACAAAUUAUCCACCACUAGAUGGGUCAAUGAUACCAUUGUCAUCAUGCAAUUUUUCCCACGAGAUGGGGCCGUACGCUUGGGGCUCUAAAAGCUAUGGUUUUAAUUUCAUUAUGUCACAUCUAGAAUGGCAGGUAUAUUUUAUUUCAAUUUAAACAAUGGAAUAAAUUAGAAGAUAUUUCAUCUCGCUUAAAAUCUUAUCUUCUUAUAUGAUUUCACCUAAAUUCUGGCUGGAAUGUUUAAGUUAUAUUCUAGCUAUUCUGUUAUGGCCAAAUGAUAUUUUGUUUUACUUUUAUAAAAAAUUAAAAUAUAGUUUAGUUUUUGUAUUUAUUUUCUGGUUAUAUUUAAUUUGUCAUCAAUAUUCAUAACGUAAAUUGCUAUGCAUUUCGAAUCUUGAAAGGAUUGAAAGAUGGAAAACAGAAAAGAAAGAGAGACCCCCAGUUCAAAAGAAAAAGAAAAAAAAACAAUAGUAAAAGAAAGAGAAGAGAACAAAAGUGAAGCAGUUUUUACUAACUAUAUAAAUUUUAUAAUUAUUAAUAUUAAAUUCAAAAUAUGUACAUAAUGCAAAUAUGUAAACAUAUCAUGUGGUUUAAAGAAAUGAUUUUUAUAAAGAUAUAUGUCUUAACAAUAUUAAUCAACUCUUAAUAUUUUUCAUUUUAUAAAUAUUAAAAGUAAAUAUUAAAACCUAUUAUAUUAAUUUGUGAAGGUAUUUACUCGGAUGCGAAUUAUAUUUCUAAUUUUUUAUUAAAAAAAAAUUCUACAUACUACAACUAGCCUAAGAAAGUCAUUUUCAUCUAAAAAAAAGUAGAAAAAAUUGAAUUGCAUAAAAGCAUCACUAUAAAUGUUAUACUCCGAAAAUAUCUUCUUUCCUUGAUAAAAUUCCCUAAACUACUGUAUGUCUCUAACAGUGAAAAUAUCACUAUAAUUUACAGUCACCUUAUUUAAUCGAAAGAAAACUUUAAAGAUGCACCUCCAUCUAGUGUAUUUAAAAAGAUUUAACAAAUUACUUUACACGUGCUAUGCUACAAGUUACAUAUUUUUUCAAUGUAAACAAAAAUUAUAUAGGUAUUUUUAACAUUUUUCUAUUAAAAAAAACUAAAACAUAUAAAAAUUAACCAAUUUAUAAUUAAUUAAUUAAUUGAGAAUUUGAGCUCCUUAGAAAAGUUGUUUAUGGACUUUUGUUUUCCGGAGAAAGCUCCUUUAAAACCCUUGAGCACCACCUUCUUUAAAACUUCUAUCUUUGCCAUAACUGAGGGGCUCUGUAUUUUUUUUAAGGUGAAUUAACAAGUUACAACUCAACUCUGUAUUUUUUUUUUUAGUUUAAUGUGGGUGUCUGGGUCAACUUACGCGUACCUCGACUAAUUCCACGGGCCCUGAAAUUAAUGACCAUAUAAACCUACAGUGGCCAUCAUAUGAACAAUCACAGGACUAGGGCUCGAACUUGAGACAAAAAAAAAAAGCAAAUUUUUUAAUCUUAAAUUCUUACCACUGGAUCACUAUCUAAAUUGUUACCUUGUAUCUAAUCUAGAUGUGUCUGUGACUGUGCUUGAUGUUCUCAUAACCAUUAAGAUGGUUCGAACCCAAAUAAAUAGAAACAAAUUUAUUUUCUGUUAUUCUCCGAAUUCCUAGAUAGAAUUUGCUUGGAAAUGAUGAGCUACCACUCCCUUUUGACUUUGCUGGCCUCCCAAAUAAAUAAAGAAUUCCGCUUGAUAGAAUUUUCUUGGAAAUGAUGAGAAUAUUUUAUAAUUUUCUGGUUGACGCCAGCUGUCAACAACUGUCUUACAUUCCCUUGGCAUCGUGUUCCAUGCCCUUGCAAAAUAUUAAAGGCUCCAAUGCCUCUCUCGCAAUAAGAUUAUUUUUUUUAUUUGUCCCCGAAUACAUGUGUCAUUUAUCGAAAUAAUUAAUUUAAUCACACACAUAAAAAAAAAAAAAAAUUUAAAUAGGCGGCUUUAGAAUCAGCAAGCAGUGAAUCACACGGGAAGAUUGAAAGAAUAAUUAAAGUGAUUUUACUAACAUUGUAAAAAAAAUUGAAUUGCAUAAGAGUAAUUAACCGACAGGUUGACCCAAAGUCAAAGUCUUCUGUGGAAAAACAUGAAUAGAAGAUUGAUGGGCGUUGCGUGAUAGCAAAAGAUUUGAGAUCUGCACAGCAGGUUUUGAAUUCGAGUCAGGGCGUGCAUCUCUUGUAAAAGCUUGGGAUAGCCGGGAUUUUACUGUCUCAUCUGGGCCCAUAAAGUGCGCUUUCCAAGGAAAUGAGGUUCCCUCGAAUCCAUAAAAAAAAAAAAAGUAAUACCAUUGCUAUCAAGCGUUUUUUCUACGAGAUGGUCCGUUCCCCCAUUUCCCCUCAAGCUUGAGAAGGGAUGAUAUAUAUAUGCUUUAAUUUCAACUUGUAUAAAAAAUAAAUCUUAAUGUAGUGUGUUAGAAUGCAACCACCGAUUCAUUAUUUUUAAUGGCUGGUCAUUUAAACUUGGGUGUUUUUUCGGUAUUAAUAUAUAUAUUCCUCAAUUAUCAUAAAAAAAUUAAGAAAAAACUAAUAAUAAGAUUAAAAAUAAAUGUUUUAUUUAUCGAAAUAAUUAUUAAAAGUAAGGUAUACUCAAGGUAUAUGUGGGACGAUAAAAAAAUAACAAAAAAAUCAAUUUACAAAAAAAAUCAUAGAUUUAGUUUUCCUAAAUUUUAAAUGUAGUGCAACAUUAGCCUUUCAAGAAAUAGAUAAUCUUCCUCUUUGAAGGAAUUAAUUAGUGGGUUGGAAAAAUGUCGUCUUUUGCUCUAAUAUUUUCUUCGCUUUCUCUAUAGUUUUACCAUACACUAAUAUUGUCAGAAAAUGAUACAUACUUCUUGUGUUAUCCUUCAAGAAUUCAAUUGAAAAGGAGGGUUGUAAAAAAUUUAAUUUUUAUAAACAUACCCUUAACUUAAUUUGGAUGUGGAUAAUUGUUUGCAAUAUAUUUACAUCCAAUAUAAACAAUUCAUCAAUGAUCAAGUAGGCAGUGGUUAGCUAAAAUAUUGAAAAUACUUACUCUCUUUGUUUUUUAGUCAUGCAGUUCCACUAUUGUAUGUUAUUUUUGUUUAGCUAAAAAUAUCAAAAAAUAUUAAUUUGGAGUAAAAAAAAAAAAAAAAUUUAAUUUUUUUAAAAAUAUUUUUGAAACAUAAAAACAAACAGUGCUAAAAGACAUAGAAACAGUUACCCAAAUCAAUUUAUUUUUUUAAAAAAUAAAAAUAGAAUACUAUACAAAUGGAGCUUCCAACAAAAAGAUAUGGGAAGUUCGAGGGAAAAAAUGAUUAGUUAAUUCAAAACACCAGGAGUAAGUAAUAAUUACAAAACACGAUACCGAAACCAAAUUGAAAAGUGAGCAAAAUACAAAACUGGUUACAUGUAUCGAAAGGAACUGGAACCAAUUUCUCCACCACUGGAUGUCCCUUUUGUUCAGUCUAUGUUUGGUGCAAUCACCUAAAGCUAGAAACAAAAACAGCGCCUUAGUCUAUGUUUGGUGCAUUUUUUCCACGAGAUGGGUUCGUGGAAAAACUUUGGUUUAAUUGGGAAUGCUGUUAUUGGUUAGAAACUUUUUAAUUAAAAUAAAUUUGAUUAUUUGAUUGGAAAAAUCCUUAAAUGUUAUUAACACAUGAAAUCAAUUUAUUCUCUUAAGAAAAAAAUAGUUUUACAUCUUGUGGUAUAUAUGUCAAGCAUUUUUUUUCCCUCAAGAUGGGUUCGACAGACAAUCACCAUCAUGCAUUUAUGAGUCCAUGAGACCAUUGUCAUCUGCACAUUGGUCCCCUAUAGCGUUGCUUUUCCUCAAGACCAUUUCCAUCAUGCAUUUAUGAGUUAGUGAGACCAUUUCCAACUGCACAUUGGUCCCUGAAACCGUUGCCAUCAUGCAUUUUUCCUCGAUGAGAGGUCGUGAGACGUCCACUUCCAACCAUCAUGCAUUUUUUUCACGAGAUGAGGCCGUACGUUUGGGGCUCUAAAAGCUAUAUAUAUUAGAAAUAUUAUUUGAAAAUAAAUUAUUUUUUAUUUUUAAAAAUAAAAUUCUUCUAUACAAAAGAUUUUUAUAAGUAUAAUUUAAUUUAUUCAGUUUUUUAAAUAAAGUUAAUCUAUCGCAAGAGUACACGAAAUAAGUAUUUUUCCGUCAUGCAUUUUUUUUCCUCAAGACCAUUUCCAUCAUGCAUUUAUGAGUCUGGGAGACCAUUUCCAUCAUGCAUUUAUGAGUUGCUGAGACCAUUUCCAUCUGCACAUUAGUCUCUGAGACCGUUGCCAUCAUGCAUUUUUCCUCGAGGAGAGGCCGUGAGACUUCCUCUUCCAACCAUCAUGCAUUUUUUCCACGAGAUGGGUUCGUGGAAAAACUUUGGUUUAAUUAGGAAUGCUGUUAUUGAUUGGAAACUUUUUAAUUAAAAUAAAUUUGAUUAUUUGAUUGGAAAAAUCCUUAAAUGUUAUUAACACAUGAAAUCAACUUAUUCUCUUAAGAAAAAAACAGUUUUAAAUCUUGUUGCCGUCAUGCAUUUUUUUUUCCUCAAGAUGGGUUCGACAGACAAUCACCAUCAUGCAUUUAUAAGUCCAUGAGACCAUUGUCAUCUGCACUUUGGUCCCCUAUAGCGUUGCUUUUCCUCAAGACCAUUUCCAUCAUGCAUUUAUGAGUCCAGGAGACCAUUUCCAACUGCACAUUGGUCCCUGAGACCGUUGCCAUCAUGCAUUUUUUCCACGAGAUGGGUUCGUGGAAAUAAUUUGGUUUAAUUGGGAAUGCUUUACUGUAUUUGUUUUCUGGUUAUAUUUAAUUUUUCAUCAAUAUUCCUAAGCACGUAUUUUGAAUCAUGAAAAGCACGUGGAAAAGAGAGGGAUGGUGAAAAUGACAUGUAAAGGGACUGUUUGGCAGUGCGCAUAGAAAAGGGAAAGUGUCAUUGCCAUUUUGAGUGGUGUGUUUGCAUUUGAUUUGUUAAUUUCGAGUUUUGUCAAAGAGUGAUUACUAGUCAUCAAGCAUUUUAUUAAUUUAAUUUAUCCUGUCAAGUGAAGGGCCAAACCUGUCAUUCAUUGCCAGUCACAGUCACAAGUCUUGGUCUUACCAUUUUACUAUCUAUUAAUUAAUUAAUUGUUUGAUUAAUCAACGAAACUGUGCGUUUCUCUUGUGAUUUCUCGAAGACGGCCAUGAAUAUAUAUAUAUAUAUAUACAACUUUUCAAAACAAAAAGGAUUUUGAUGGAGAGGACAUUGAAACAAAUUAUCCUCGUGAUACCAUUGUCAUCAUUCAAUUUUUUCCACGAGAUCAGGCCGUAUGCUUGGGGCUCUAAAAGAUAUUAUUUCUAAUUUUAUUAUAUCACAUCUAGAAUAACAAGUAUAUUUUAUUUCAAUUUAAAAAAUAGAAUAAAUUAAAAGAUAUUUCAUUUUUAAAAUUUUAUUUUGUUUUAUGAAUUUCACCUAAAUUCUGACUAGAAUAUUUUGAUUAUAUUCCAGCCAUUUUAUUAUGAUAAAAUAAUAUUUUGUUUUGCUUUUAUAAAAAAAAUAUAAUCUAAUUUUACAGUAUCAAUCAUAUCUUUCAAUUCGACUGCUGGAUUGGACUAAAAUUUUACGAGGAAUCUCCUAACAUAUAUUUAUAUCGCAAAUUAAAAUUUUAAGGCAAUCAGAGUUUAGAAAAAUUUUGCGAAAUUACCGAUGAUAUUUUCAUAAUUUUAUUUAAAUUCAUAAUUUUGUUAGGAAAUAUUAUUUUUUGUUUCUUUUUUAGAUUGAAUUAUUUCUAAAGUACUUCUUGUCAUUGUCAUGACAAUAAAUCUUCUUCUUUUUCUUUUUAAAAAGUCUAUUUUUUGUAACACAACCAACAUGUAAGAUGGAUGGGAAUUUGCAGUGUGAGAUGGGUUUGUGAGACUUUGGCCAUCUCCAAUUUUUUCCACGCCAUUGAGAUGGUCUAUAAGACCAUUGCCCCGUAAGCAUUUAUGAGUUCGUGAGACCAUUUCCAUUUGCACAUUGGUCCCUGAGACCGUUGCCAUCAUGCAUUUUUUACACGAGAUGGGUUCGUGGAAAUACUUUGGUUCAAUUGGGAAUGUUGUUAUUGAUUGGAAACUUUUUAAUUAAAAUAAAUUUGAUUAUUUGAUUGGAAGAAAUCCUUAAAUGUUAUUAACAAUAGAAAUCAAUUUAUUUUCUUAAGAAAAAAAUAUUGUAACCAUAUAAGUAAUUUAUUUAUUUAUUUUAAUGAAAAAUAAAAUAGUUUUAAAUCUUGUGGUAUAUUUCUUGUCUUUAAGAGCUAUGAACUUAUAUCUCAAAACUUGAAAACUAAUAUAAAGAUAUUAAGUGAUCAUUAAGCGUGUGUGUGUGUAUAAUGCUUUUCAAAACAAGAAGGAUUUUGAUGGAGAGGACAUUGCAACAAAUUAUCCACCACGAGAUGGGGCUGUACGCUUGGGGCUCUAAAAAACUAUGGUUUUUAAUUUUAUUAUGUCACAUCUAGAAUGGCAGGUAUAUUUUAUUUCAAUUUAAACAAUGAAAUAAAUUAGAAGAUAUUUCAUCUCGUUUAGAAUGUUAUCUCAUUUCAUGAAUUUCACCUAAAUUCUGGCCGGAAUAUUUUGGUUCUAUUCCAGCCAUUCUAUUAUGAUCAAAUAAUGUUUUGUUUUGCUUUUAUAAAAAAAAAAUAUAUAGUUUAGUUUUAUGGUAUUAAUUAUAUCUCUCAAUGCAAUUAUUGGAUUAGACUAAAAUUUUACAAGGAAUCUCUUAACAUAUAUUUAUAUCGCAAGUUAAAAUUUUAGAACAAUUAGAGUUUAAAAAGACUUUGUGAGAUUGCCGAUGACAUUUUUAUAAUUUUAUUUAAAUUCAUAAUUUUGUUUCAUAAGGUCAUUUUUUGUGUCUUUUUUUAGAUUGAUUUUUUUUUUUCAAUUUCAUAAUUCAACAAUAGAUUUAUUAAAAAUUAAGAUUCAUAAUUUGUUUUUAUUUGGGAUUAUUAUGGUCUCAUAAUCUGGGUUACGGAUUUAAAAGAUUAACCUAGAUUAACCUGGUUCGAUCUAAUAUGUUGUUGUUUCAAUAUUUUUAACAAAUAUAAUUUUAAUUGAUAUUUAAAAAUAAACUAACUUGAAAUUAUAUAAUUUAAAUUUCAAAUAUAAGUAAAAAUAAAGAGUUAAAUCAAUAUGACCCAAUUGAUUUGAUGAGUCCAAAAUAUAUAUAAAACAAUCCAAACGACACGUCAAAAUACUCAAAAAUCAAAAUAUAUUGUUACAAUUAAAAAAAUAAAACACCAAUUAAAAUGGAAUUGACGACCUUGCUUGAUAUAAGCCUAAACUCCUCGCUGCCAUUUGCAAGAGAUAGUUACUUAUACCAGUAGCAAUUUAAUAAUGAUUGGUCAAAUUUUAUAUUAAGAUGGGGCUAUUAAUUCAAAUGUUGAUGGCGUUAGUAGCAAUGAUUUUCUUGGAAGCAUGGUUGCCUCUUGGCUGCUUGAAAAUAUAUGGUUUUUUUAAUGUCGCAUGUGUGCUGCGUCAUGAAAAAAAAAUUCACUCUCAAAUCCUAAAUAUUGGUAUCCUGGAAAAAUUGGGAAAAAUAAGGAGACAAGAAAUUCUUGUCUUUUAUUAGUGGAAAAAUAAAAUGGGAGUCGCCACUUAGUAUUUUAAUCACUAGGAACCCUGAUUGGUCUCAGAGAUUGGGUACGGAGACUGGUUGCGUAAAGGGAAGGUAUUAGCACCCCAAAUACGCCCUACCUAAGGUAAGUUGCAUUGUUUUAUUGUUUGAUAAAAUCUAAGGUCUUGUCGUGUUUUCUAGUUAUUGGUCCGUCUAUGAUUUAAGAAAAGUCUUCAUCGAUAAAGAGAUCCUUAUCUUUUCGGGUAAAACCUAACCGUUCUAACGUAAACAAAAGAAUUUAAUAUCCGGAAUACAUCUUACGUAUAAGGUCGUAACCCCAGAUACUAAAAGAAAAUUUUUUUUUUGGAAUUUUUUAAAUAUUGGCCUAGUUCUUGUGACUUUAAUAAACUGGUUUUUAAAACCAAAAUGCAUGUUAAUACAUAUUUUUGUUGUAUGAAAAUAUGAUAUGAUUUUUUUCUUUGAGAUACUUGGCCGUAUGCAUGAAAAUAAUUUUUUUUUUAAUUUUUCAAUGUUUUGACGAAAACUAGGUAUUUUAAUACCAGAUUUGUAUCUUUACAGUAUAAAAAUACAAACCAAUACUAAGAAAAAUUUAGUAGAAAAAUAUAUGGGAAAAUUAUAGAUUUUUUGAAAUGAUUAUUUUUGAAGAAUUGUUUUUUACUGGGCCGGACCCGACCCAACCAUUUUGGGCGGGCCGGCACUGUCCGGGCUGGAAAACUAAAACAAACAAUGGAGAGACUCUCCACUGUUCACAUGCAACGUGAACAGUGGAGCGGCCUGGAGAAGACAAAGAAGAAGAGGAGGAAGAGGAAGAAGCAGACCUGCGGCCUAGCGGUGCUGCUAGUGGCGGUGGACGGUGUUGCGGUUGCGGAGUGUUAGAAAUAAUGUUCAGGACUGCUGAGCUGGAAUUUUAUUCUUUCUUAAUUUUUGAUUUAGUCAAUUCUGUUCCUAUUCUCUUGUUCUUGUUGCUACUUCGCAGCUCUGUUAUUUCCAUUAUCAAUUGAUCAUGGCUUGAAUGUAGUACCAUGAUCGUAGGAGUUUGUUAUGUAUCAGCUCUAUAAAUUGAGCUGCAGUUAUGAAUAAAGUAUUCAAGCUUUUCAUUCAUCAAUCUCUUCUUAAACACAAGCAUUAUCCUUUGUUAUUUUUGUUGUUCAGAAUCACUGCAACAACGACAAUUGGUAUCAGAGCAUCUUGAUUUAAAGGGAUCUGUGUUGUAACCCAUGGAGACAGAAGUAAGAUUCUCAUCAAUUGCUCCACCAGUGUUCAAUGGUGACAAUUACCAGUUUUGGGCAGUACGGAUGGAGACAUACUUAGAGGCUCUGGAUUUGUGGGAGGCAGUGAAAGAAGAUUAUGAAAUCCCUGCACUUCCAAAUAAUCCCACCAUGGCGCAGGUCAAAUCACAGAAGGAGAAGAAGACAAAAAAAUCAAAGGCAAAGGCGUGCUUGUUUGCUGCAGUAGCAUCCACCAUUUUCACUCGAAUCAUGUCUCUGAAAACAGCAAAGGAGAUAUGGGAGUUUAUCAAGACUGAGUAUGAAGGGGAUGAAAGAAUUCAAGGUAUGCAAGUGUUGAACUUGAUGCGUGAUUUCGAGUUGCAGAAGAUGAAGAAAACUGAAUCCAUCAAAGAGUACUCUGACAGGCUGCUUAAUAUUGCAAGCCGAAUCAGUUUACUUGGCUCGUCCCUGCCUGAGUCAAGAAUUGUUCAAAAAAUUCUUGUAACAAUUCCUGAAAUCUUUGAGGCUACAAUUACAUCCUUGGAAAAUACCAAGGAUAUGUCAAAAAUUACUUUGACAGAAAUGCUAAAUGCAUUACAAGCUCAGGAGCAAAGGAGGAUCAUGAGACAAGAAGAUGAGAUUGAAGGAGCUCUAUUCGUCAAGCAUAGAGAAAAAGGAAAGAAUUACAAGAAGAAUGGAAGCAGUCAAGCAUCAUCAGGUGAUUCCAGGAAUUUCAACAGGAGCAACACUGGAAACAAAAAAGGACCUUUUCCUCCAUGCCAGCAUUGUAAAAGGAGAUCACAUCCACAUUUUAAGUGUUGGAGAAGACCAGAAGCUAAGUGCAACAAAUGCAAUCAAAUGGGCCACGAGGCUGUCAUCUGCAAAAACAAAAUUCAACAGCAUGGUGAAGAAGCUCAAAUUGCUGAUCAAGAAGAAGAAGAUCAAUUGUUUGUGGCCACUUGCAUUUCCAGAAAUGACUCAAGUGAAAGCUGGCUCAUUGAUAGUGGUUGCACCAACCACAUGACACAUGACAGAAACAUAUUCAAGGAGCUGAAACAAACAACUUCAAAGGUUCGAAUUGGAAAUGGAGAAUACCUUGCUGUUGAAGGAAAGGGAACCGUGGCAAUCUUGACUUGCUCAGGUACUAAGUUCAUCUCUGAUGUAUUGUAUGUCCCUGGUAUAAAUCAAAAUUUAUUCAGUGUUGGUCAGCUUAUUGAGAAGGGUUAUAAAGUAGUGUUUGAAAACAAUUGCUGCUUGAUCAAAGAUGUGAAUGGUCAUGAUAUUUUCAAAAUAAUCAUGAAAGGGAAGAGUUUUGCUUUAAAUCCAUUAGAGGAGGAGCAUAUUGCUUUCCCAAUUAAAGAAAAUAUCACAGAUAUUUGGCACAAGAGGCUCGGGCACUAUCAUCAUAGAGGGCUGAUGCUUAUGAAAUCCAAGAUGAUGGCUAAGGAUUUCCCAGCACUUGAUGAUCACAUAUCCAGCUGCAGAACUUGUCACACUGGCAAGCUAAACAGGAAGCCCUUUCCAGAAGCCACAUGGAGAGCAACAAGGAAGCUGCAAUUGAUUCAUACUGACAUUGCAGGACCAUAAAGGACACCCUCUCUAAAUGGGAGUCUGUAUUAUGCUGUCUUCAUUGACGAUUACAGCCGAAUGUGCUGGAUUUUCUUCUUGAAGCACAAGUCAGAGGUAGCACAGGUGUUCUGGAAUUUCAAGGCCAAAGUUGAAAAUGAAAGUGGCUGCAAAAUUCAAGCCCUCAGAUCAGACAAUGGCAAGGAAUACACUUCCAAUGCCUUCAACAUUUUUUGUGAGGAGGCAGGCAUUCAUCAUCAGCUAACAACUCCGUAUACUCCUCAACAAAACGGAGUUAGUGAGAGGCGAAACAAGUUCAUAUUGGAAAUGACAAGAUGCUUGCUACAUGAGAAGAAUUUACCAAAGAAAUUCUGGGCAGAGGCUGCAAACACUGCUGUGUUCUUGCAAAACCGACUGCAUACAAGAGCCUUGAAGGAUCAAACACCCUUUGAGGCAUGGUAUGGUUACAAACCAUCUCUGAAUUUUCUUAAGGUAUUUGGAUGUUUGUGCUUCACCCUUGUUCCACAGGUCAAGAGGGAUAAACUUGACAAGAAAGCACUUCCAGGCAUUUUUGUUGGCUACAGCUUAGUUUCAAAGGCUUAUAAGAUUUUCCAACCACAAACUGGAAAAAUCAUUAUAAGCAGAGAUGUCCAAUUCCUGGAAGAUGAAGAAUGGGACUGGAACGAUGCAAUCAAAGAAGAUUCAACCUCUCCAAAAGGCAAUUAUCUUGUUUCAGACACAGAUGAUCAAAGCAUGGAAGAUUGGGACAUCAACAUGACAGAUGACACUCCUGUUACAGGCACACGGUCACUCCUUGAUGUGUAUCAAAGGCGCAACAUUGCUGUGUGUGAACCAGCAGACUUUGAAGAAGCCAAGCUAGAUCAAAAUUGGCUUGCUGCGAUGAAGGAGAAGCUUCUCAUGAUCAAGAGAAACAACACGUGGGAGUUGGUUGACAGACCUCAAAACAGAAAUGUAAUCGGUGUAAAAUGGGUGUAUCGAACAAAACUCAACGCUGAUGGCUCAAUCAAUAAGCUCAAAGCCAGGCUAGUGGUGAAGGGUUAUGCACAAAUCUUUGGCGUGGACUACUCAGACACGUUUGCACCGGUAGCAAGACUUGACACUAUCAGGCUGCUACUUGCCAUUGCAGCACAACUGAAUUGGAAGGUGUAUCAAAUGGACGUCAAGUCAGCAUUUUUAAAUGGUGUUUUGCAGGAGGAGAUCUAUACUGAGCAACCAGAAGGCUUUGCAAAUGAAGGAGAGGAGGACAAAGUCUGUCUUCUUAAGAAGGCACUAUAUGGAUUGAAGCAAGCUCCAAGAGCUUGGUACAGCCGAAUCGAUGAACAUUUGCAGCACUUGGGAUUCACUAAAAGCCUCUCUGAAUCGACUCUUUACAUCAAGCAAAAUGGUGAUAACAUCCUUAUCAUCUCACUUUACGUUGAUGAUUUGCUUGUAACAGGAAAUAACAACAAUAAUGUGGAGAUAUUCAAGCAAGAGAUGAUGAGUGUAUUUGAGAUGACAAAUUUGGGUUUGAUGUCCUUUUUUCUUGGAAUGGAAGUUAAGCAAGUUGAACAUGAAGUGUUCAUAUGUCAGAAGAAGUAUGCCAAAGAAAUCCUCAAAAAGUUCAAACUUGAAGAUUGCAAAGCAGUAAGCACUCCUAUGAAUCAAAAGGAGAAGCUAUGUAAAGAAGAUGGAGCCGAGAAGGUUGAUCAAGCACAAUUCAGAAAAAUUGUUGGAUGCUUGAUGUAUCUCACUGCAACUAGGCCUGAUAUUUUGAAUGCUGUGAGUAUCUUGUCUAGAUUCAUGCAUUGUGCUAGUGAAUUGCAUUUCAAGGCUGCUAAAAGAGUGAUAAGAUAUGUCAAAGGAACCUGCAAUUUUGGCAUAAGAUACACAAGAAGUAGAGAGUUCAAACUGGUCGGGUACUCUGACAGUGAUUGGGGAGGCUCAAUUGAUGACUUGAAGAGCACAUCAGGCUACUGUUUCUCUUUAGGUUCUGGUGUGUUUUCAUGGAAUUCAAAAAAGCAAGAAACCGUAGCCCAAUCCACUGCUGAAGCUGAGUUUGUGGCUGCAACAGCUGCUGUCAAUCAAGCUUUGUGGCUGAGGAAAAUUUUAUCUGAUCUUAACCUGGAGCAAAAGGAAAGCACAGAAAUUCUAGUUGACAAUCAAGCUGCCAUUUCCAUCUCUAAUAAUCCUGUGUUUCACGGGAAAACCAAGCACUUCAACAUCAAAUUAUUCUUUUUGAGAGAGGUGCAGAAAGAUGGGAGUAUCAUUCUUAUUUACUGCAAAACUGAAGAACAAGCAGCUGAUAUUUUCACCAAACCACUGCCAGUCAACAAAUUCGAAUUUCUGAGAACAAAGUUGGGAGUUUGCAGCUCCUAAACAAGGAGGAGUGUUAGAAAUAAUGUUCAGGACUGCUGAGCUGGAAUUUUAUUCUUUCUUAAUUUUUGAUUUAGUCAAUUUUGUUCCUAUUCUCUUGUUCUUGCUGCUACUUCGCAGCUCUGUUAUUUCCAUUAUCAAUUGAUCAUGGCUUGAAUGUAGGACCAUGAUCGUAGGAGUUUGUUAUGUAUCAGCUCUAUAAAUUGAGCUACAGUUAUGAAUAAAGUAUUCAAGCUUUUCAUUCAUCAAUCUCUUCUUAAACACAAGCAUUAUCCUUUGUUAUUUUUGUUGUUCAGAAUCACUGCAACAACGACACGGACCGUGGCGCUGACUGGCGGGUGGUUCUUCUUUCUUUCUCUGCGUUUCCCUUCUGCUUUUUUUCUAUUCUGCUCUGUUCUUCCUCUUGUUCCCUGUUUUAUUCUUUCUCUCCCUCUCUGGUCCUCUCAAACGUCCCUUGGAGCUGCUGCCUGAAGAUGAAGACGAAGUUGAGGGUGAUCAGUGCUCUGAUCGGGCGACGUUUCUUUCUUUCUUCUGCUACUGUUUUCGUUUCUGAUUCUCCUCGUUCAAUUCUUAUUUGCACUCUUCUUCUUCUUCGUCUCUGGUUUUUGAAAUGACGAAGACGAUGGCAACGCUGGUUCUAAUCUCAACGAUUUCCUCUUCUUACAUUCUUUCCUUUUGCUCGUUUCUGUCUCCCUCUCGUGCUGCUCCCCACUUUCUCUCUUGUCCUGCUCGCUCUCCCUCCCUGUCUCCUCUUCUUUUUUUUUUGUUGUCCGUCUCUCCUCUAGCUUUUUAUAGCCAGAGGAUGCAUGCUUUUCGGGAUUUAUUGCAGGAAGGUUGUAACGGCCGGCGUGCAUCAUGGUGGAGAGGGAUAUCAGCCGUGAGACGUGCUCCCCUGAUUGAAGCAGCUCCACCACUAACGUCUUCACUUCCUUUUACUGUAGAAACCGUUGUUGAUGAAGAAGGUAAUGAACAGUUGUCAAGGAAAUGGUACCGUUUUAAAAUUCAAAAUGAAUAUUUCCGAUUUGGUCAUUGGAUUUUUUGCAAUUUUGUAAUCAAGCCCCCGAAUAAAUUGUAAUUGGAUCUCUGGAUUUUAGCCCCAUUUACAAGACAAUCUUUGGUUCUGGAUUCAUGCGAUUUGACUCUCAAUUGAUCAAUAAACUUCUAAUUUCUUUAAUUUAGCCCCUGACUUGGUCAAUUGCAGCCCUUAUAUUUACACGCCUUUUCCGGUUUGAUCCUUGGUUUCGGAUUUUUUCAAUCAAGUCCCUAAUUGCCCAUAAAACUUUAAUAAUUAUGCAAUUAAGCCCCUGAUUUGACCAAAUCAACUCUUCAAAAUUAUAAUUGGACCUUAGAACUUUAAUUUCUUCGAAUAAAAGCCUAAAUAGACAUAAAACUCAAUUUUUCUUUCAAUCAAACCCUCCAUAAAUUCAAUUAAACCUUUAAUAAAAUUUAAUUGAGUCCAUAAACAUCUGAUUUUAGAUAUAUUUUUUUAAAAUUGAAUUUUCUUUGUCAACAGGGCUCUCAUUAGUCAACGAUAUACUGUCAAAUUUCAAUCUUUAUAUUUUUUAACCUCCUCAACCAAUUUUUGGCCAUUUUGAGCAGUCCGACAGCUUUCACUGUGACAUAUAUAUUUUUUUAUUUAUAUUAUUUAAUUAAUUUAUUAUUAUUUAUUUAUUUAAUUUUUUUCAACUCUUACUUUUUGUAUUUUCUUCUUUUUUGUGUGGGGUCCCAAAAAUGGAUAACAACACUUAAGUUCAAAUCUAUUAAUAAAAAUAUAGUUUUAUUGACUUUUUUAUAUACUUUUAUUAGAGAAAUCAAUGUAAACAAAUUUAUGGACAAACAUUAGUUUAUCAAGUACUUAAAUAGAAAAAUAAAAUCAAUUAGAGUACUUGAAUAAAAAAAAUAUAAAUUAUAAGCAUUUUAUAUAUCUUUAUUGUUCAUAAAUUAAAAAUAAAAUAAAAUCAAUCCAGACUAAUCUAAAAAGAGUUAACUAUGACAUCAUCAUUUUGAUAGUAAAACUAAUGAAGAUAUUUUAUUGAUUAAAUUCCGUGAAUAUAAGUAUUCAAAUUGAAAAAAAAAAACAUUGAUACAAGAUUUUAAAUAAAAAAAUUAUAAAAUACAUAUAAUUUGUACUUCUCAUUGUCUCUUUUGCAUUGCUAACACUUAACAAAUUGAAUAUAUAAUUCUCAUGUCAAUAACGUCAGAAUAAAUUUAGCUACAUGACAUAAUAAUACCUGUUUAUUUUUGUAUUUUAAAAAUAUUUUAAAAACAUUAAAUUGUUUUAAAUAGAUAACUUUUGAAUCAUCAAGUAGUGAAACACAGGAAAAGCGAAGAAAGUGAAGAAUAAUCAAAGUGGUGCGUGUCCACAUCAAUUUUUGUCCAUGUUUUUGGUAUUAAUCUCUUCAUCUAUUUACAGCUGGAGAAAAGAACAUCACCUACUACUUUUCUUGUCUCUUCUUACUUGGAAGAUCAGGUAUGUGAAUCUUUGAGUGCCACUUAUUUUAGUACAUAGACUUAGUUAUUUGACCACAACUUCACCACAAGUUAAAUUGUUUUAAUUAAAAAAAUUUAUAUAAAGAUUUCUUCAAUAAAUUUUUUAUUUAAAAAAUUUCUAAGUGAAAAUUAAAAAACUUAUACACAAAUAUAGUUAAAUAAAUCAAGAAUUAUGUGUGUUAAUAAGUGAAAAAAACCAUAAAUGAUGACUCAAAAUAAAAACUGAAAAAAUCAACUGAUAAAUGUAGAUCAAAAUAUUUAAUUUCACAAGACGUGAUAUUAAUGCAGUUGUGUUUUCUAAAAUUUUUAAUUAAAAUAAUUUUUUAAUUUGAUCAAACGAUAAUAAAAAUAGACACACAUAUUAUAAAUUGAUUGAAUAAAAUAAAAAAUAAUAAUAAUAUGCUAGGCUUUAUAUAUUGGAAAUAUUAUUUAAAAAUAAUUUUUUUUAUUUUAAAAAAUAAAAUUUAUCUAUUAAAAAAAUUUAUAUAUUAAAUUCAAAAUAAAUAAACUUUAAAAUAAUUUGCAAGGCUGCACAUAACCCCUUUAAAAGGAAAGUGAUAUAACAAACGUGGAACAAUUUUUAUUAACUAAAUAAACUUAAUAACUAUUAAUAUUAAAUUCGAAAUAUAUAUUAAAACCUAUUAUAUUAAUUUUUGAAUUUAUCAAUUCAGAUGUGAAUUAUAUUUCUAAAAUGUUAUAAGAAAUUUCUAUAUACGACAACUAGCUUAAGAAAGUGAUGUUCAUCAAAACCAUAGAGUACAGAAAAAGAAUUGAAUUGCAUAAAAUUAAGUAAUUAACGGAAACUUAUAUUCCUUCUUAAAACGUUGACCCCAAGUCAAGUUUAUUUAUUAUUAUUUUUUUUGAAAAAAACAUGAAUAAAAGUUAAUGCUAGGCACAUGGGAUAUAGAAGACUUGCAACUUUCUUUAUAGAAAUUACGUGUGUAAAAUUUAGGCCUUGAAAAAAAAUUAAAAAUAAAAUACUAUUAAUCGUGUUGAUAAAAAUUAAUAUAGAGACUUUAUUGAUAAAAAUUCAUAAGAGCAAGUAUUCAAAUUACAAAAAAUAAAAAUAUUUCUUCAAAUUUUCAAUAAAAUUUAUUUCUUGAAAUUAAUGCAUUAAACAAAAUUAAAAUAGUAGUAAAAGUAAAUUUAGUUUUUGAUUGAAGUGUAAACUAGUGGUAAAUGAACAAAAAGAAACUUUAUUGAUUUCUCCAAAAACAAUAUAUAUAUUAUUGAAUAUCUAAUGGAAAGGAUUAUGAAACUCCGCCUAAUAUAUAUAUAUAUAUAACAGAGAAAUUGUCGAUAAUAGCUAUGAUCUAAGUAACUGGACCACGACGAAGACAUAUACAAGAAACAAAAAAAAGAUACUUCACUAACAAUUGGGGUUCUUCAUAAGCUUCAAUAGAAUUGAUAGAGGGUCGAAACAAAAAAGAGAUGAAGAGAGAGGAGGGAAUGGAAAGAAGGGAAAAGAGAACUCUUGCGAUCUGUUGAAUAAGACUCAGUAUAUAUAUAUAUAUAUAAAAUAAAAAAAACUCAAGUUAGCGCAUCAAAUCUUCGACUUGGAUUAUGAGAUCGGGAUAAGAAAACUUAAUAUUUAAAAAUAAAAUUAAAGAAAAAAACUAUAAAAACAUAUAUGGUUUAACAAUAUUAAUCAAUUAUUAAAAUCUUUCAUUUUAUAUAUAUUAAAAAUAAAUAUUAAUAACUAUUAUAUCAAUUUGUGAAUGUUUCAAUUAGGAUGCGAAUAAAUGUUUUAUAUAUGACAUUUUUCUUAAGAAACCAAAGUUAUUAAGCAUGUUUAGAUUUAAUUACCAAAUGAGAGUGAGGGUUGAGGUUAUAGAUUGACCUAAUUAAUACUCAGAUCAAGAUUUAGGUCCUAGAUCGGACAAAUUAGCUUAUUGACUAGUGUUAAUAAAAAAUUGUAUCAUUUUAUGAUUUUUGUUAUAGAAAAAAUCAAAAUGGUGUUGUUAAAAAAAGUAAAACUAGGUUUUAACUGAGUUGACUAGGUUGUGGGUUGAUUUAUCUGGUCAACUAGGCUCAAUUGAGUCAACUCUCACUUGGUUUUUUCUAAACCUAAAUAGGGUUAGGUUCCAGAUUAAAAUGUAAGGCUUGAAUUAAAUUUAAUAACAUUGAUUAAAACCACAAUGUAGGAAAAAAAAUUGAAUUCAUAAAAGUAAUUAACCGAAAACUUGAAUUCCUUCUUAUAAAGUUGAACCCAUGUCGGUUUUUUUAAAGGAAAAGUAUGAAUCAAAGGUUAACGCUAGGCUGCUCACUUUGCAUCACAAUGACAGAUAUGGAAGGCUUGCUACUUUCUUUAUGGAAAUAACGUGUGGAAAAUCAUGCAUUAAUUUUGAUGUUGAUGGCAAAAUCAAACAAUAUCGUUGAUAAAAUGAAUGACAAAUGAUAUUAUUUUUAAAAUACUUCUUGUCAUUGUCAUGACAACAAGUCUUCUUUUUUUUCUUUCUAAAGUACUUGUCAGUCUAUUUUUAUGUAACCCAAUCAACAAGUAAGAUGGAUAGAAAUUUGCAGUGUAAAAUGGGUCUGUGAGACUAUGUAUCGCCAUCUGCAUUUUUCCACGAUCUAGGCCAGUGGGAUGGUACAUGAGACCAUUGCUAUCAAGCGUUUUUUCUACGAGAUGGGUCCAUGAGACCAUUGCCCUGUAAGCUUGGGAAUGGAUAAUUAAUAUGCUUUAAUGUCUAUUUAGUUUGCAAAAAAAAUAAUUAAAUGCUUAUGAAUAAAAAAUAAAUCUCAAGUGUUAAAAUGCAACCACCGAUUAAUUAAUGGACAAUGGACCUUAGAUUAAUACAUGACGCAACUUUCAAUGGAAUUAUAUUUGUGGAGGUAUUUACUCGGAUGCGAAUUAUAUUUCUAUUUUUUUAUUUAAAAAAAUUCUAUACUACAACGAGCUUAAGAAAGUCAUGUUCAGGGGCGGAGCUAUAAUUAUUUGUUAGGAAGAUCAAAAUUAAUAUAAUAAGAUAUAAAAUUUAUUUUAAUUUAUUAUACAUGAGUUCUAAAACAAAACCUGUAUAAUUUAGUUUUAUUCAAAUAACUUACUACAAACAUAUAAUAACCUUUGUGAAGUAUAUUGGGACUGCUCAACCAUAACUUUAACAUUACACAUUGGAGUUGGUUCACUAGGCUGUGAGUUAUCAAUAUUUUUUAUUUUUCUUUUUCAAAAAAAAAUCAAUUCUUCUUAUUUUGUUCAUGGUUCAACCUAAAAUCAAAACAUAUAUCGUAAGAAAAAAUUGAUAAUUUAGUGACUCUGCUAAAAAUAAAACAUAAAACAAAUCCAAGCAUAAUCAAAACAAAACCAAUAAAAUAUAUCUAAUUAAUUAGAAAAAAAAUCAUUAUAAUAAGAAUUCAAAAAAAAAUGGUAAAACUAGCAGAUCUGAGAAAAAAAAAGAGCAAAAAUGAUAGAAAUAUAAAAAAAAUCUCAUCAAAUUAUUAACAAACAUCUCAAAACAAAACAAAUAUAGAUUUUAAAUUUAAGUUACUUUGUUUUGUUUGAUGAAAGAUAAAUUAAUUGGUGGCUCUGCUUCAAUCUUUUUGUAGAAACAUUUUGCUCACAAUUUGUAUUUUUAUUUCUUUGUUUGAUCGGCUGCAGGAUUUAUAUUAGGGUAAAUUAAUGGUUUUGUUUUUUAUUUCACAAAGUAAUGCCUUAAUAUUGUUUUCUUCCAUCUAGGUCAAGAGUAAAUUAAAAGGAAAUCAAAAGUAAAGUCAAUAAUAACCCAAAGUAAUGCCUUAAUUAUUUGAUGUCACAAAGUAAUGCUUUAAUAACCCAAUAAUAAAAAAACAAAAUGUCUUGAGGGGGGCUCGGGCCCCUGCUUGCCCCCUACUUCCACCCUUGGUCAUGUUCAUCGAAAAAAAAAAUUAUAUUUACUCGGAUGUGUUUUUUCUACGAGAUGGGUCCAUGAGAACAUUUCCAUCUGCAUAUUGGUUCUUGAGACCGUUACCAUCAGGGGCGGAGACAGAGGGGCUGGCAGGGGCCCCGGCCCCGGCAAGGAAAAAGUUUUUCCAGCCCCUCCCUUAACAAUAUUUAUAUUUUUAGUUUAAAUAAUAAAACAAUUAAUAUUUUGAUCCCCUUUAAUUUUAUUUUCUGGUUCUGCCCCUGGUUGCCAUCAUGCAUUUUUCCUCGAGGAGAGGCCAUGAGACGUCCUCUUCCAACCAUCAUGCAUUUUUUCCACGAGAUGGGUUCGUGGAGAAACUUUGGUUUAAUUGGGAAUGCUGUUAUUGAUUGGAAACUUUUUAAUUAAAAUAAAUUUGAUUAUUUGAUUGGAAAAAAUCCUUAAAUGUUAUUAACACAAGAAAUGAAUUUAUUUUCUUAAGAAAAAAAUAUUGUAACCAUAUAAGUAAUUUAUUUAUUUAUUUUAAUGAAAUAUAAAAUAGUUUUAAAUCUUGUGGUAUAUUUCUUGUCUUUAAGAGCUAUGAACUUAUAUCGCAAACCUUGAAAACUAAUAUAAAGAUAUUAAGUGAUCAUUAAGUGUGUGUGUAUGUAUAUAAUCUUUUUCAAAACAAAAAGGAUUUUGAUGGAGAUCAGGACAUUGCAACAAAUUAUCCACCACGAGAUGGGUCACUGAUACCAUUGUCAUCAUGCAAUUUUUUCCCACGAGAUGGGGCCGUACGCUUGGGGCUCUAAAACGCUAUGGUUUUUAAUUUCAUUAUGUCACAUCUAGAAUGGCAGGUAUAUUUUAUUUCAAUUUAAACAAUGGAAUAAAUUAGAAGAUAUUUCAUCUCGUUUGGAAUCUUAUCUCAUUUCAUGAAUUUCACCUAAAUUCUGGCCGGAAUAUUUUGGUUCUAUUCCAGCCAUUCUAUUAUGAUCAAAUAAUGUUUUGUUUUGCUUUUAUAAAAAAAAAAAUAUAGUCUAGUUUUACGGUAUCAAUUAUAUCUCUCAAUUCAACUGUUGAAUUAUACUAAAAUUUUACAAGGAAUCUCCUAACAUAUAUUUAUAUCGCAAGUUAAAAUUUUAGAACAAUUAGAGUUUAGAAAGACUUUGUGAGAUUGCCGAUGACAUUUUCAUAAUUUUAUUUAAAUUCAUAAUUUGGUUUCGUAAGGUCAUUUUUUGUGUCUUCUUUUAGAUUGUUUUGUUUUUCCAAUUUCAUAAUUCAACAAUAAGUUUAUUAAAAAUUGAGAUUCAUAAUUUGUUUUUAUUUUGGAUUAUUAUGGUCUCAUAAUCUGGGUCACGGAUUUAAAAGAUUAACUUAGAUUAACCCGAGUCUAUCCAAUAUGUCGUUGUCUCAAUAUUUUUAACAAACAUAAUUUUAAUUGACAUUUAAAAAUAAACUAACUUAAAAUUAUACAAUUUAAAUUUCAAAUAUAAGUAAAAAUAAAGAGUUAAAUCGAUAUGACCCAUUUGAUUUGAUGAGUCCAAAGUAUAUAUAGAACAAUCCAAAAUGACACAUCAAAAUACUCAAAAACAAAAAUAUAUUGUUACAAUUAAAAAAAUAAAACACCAAUUAAAAUGGAAUUAACAUCCUUGCUUCAUAGAAGCCUAAACUCCUCGCUACCAUUUGCAAGAGAUAGUUAUACCAAUAGCAAUUUAGUAAUGUUGGUCAGAAUUUAAUAUCCUUCUCGAUAAGAAGAUCCUUAUCUUAUCGGAUAAAACCUAAUUGUUCUAACGUCAACAAAAGAAUUUAAUAUUCGGAAUACAUCUUACGUAUAAGGUCGUAACCCAAAUACUAAAAGAAAAAAAAUAAUAUUUUUGGAAUUUUUGAAAUAUUGGUCUAGUUCUCGUGACUUUAAUAAACUGGUUAUUAAAACCAAAAUGCAUGUUAAUACAUAUUUUUGAAUUUUUGUUGUAUGAAAAUAUGAUAUGAUUUUUUUUCUUUGAGAUACUUGGCCAUAUGCAUGAAAAUAAAAACAUGUUUUUUUUUUAAUUUUUCAAUGUUUCGACGAAAACUGGGUAUUUUAAUUCCAGAUUUGUAUCUUUACAGUAUAAAAAUACAAAUCAAUACUAAGAAAAAAUCAAUAGAAAAAUACGCGGUAAAAUCACAGAUUUUUUAAAAUGAUUUUUUUUUGACCGGGUAGGCGUUGUUCGGGUCAGAAAACUAAAACAAACAGUGGAGAGACUCUCUGCUGUUCACAUGCAACGUGAACAGUGGAGCGGCCUGGAGAAGACUAAGAAGAGGAGGAGGAAGAGGAAGAAGCAGACCUGCAGCCUAGCGGUGCUGCCAGUGGCGGUGGACGGUGUUGCGGUUGCGGACCGUGGUGCUGACUGGUUGGUGGUUCUUCUUUCUUUCUCUGCGUUUCCCUUCUGCUUUUUUUCUGUUCUACUCUAUUCUUCCUCUUGUUCCCUGUUUUAUUCUCUCUCCCUCUCUGGUCCUCUCAAACGUCCCCUGGAGCUGCUGCCUGAAGAUGAAGAUGAAGUUGAGGGUGAUCAGUGCUCUGAUCGAGCAACGUUUCUUUCUUUCCUUCUGCUACUGUUUUCGUUUCUGAUUCUCCUUUUUGUUCAAUUCUUAUUUGCACUCUUCUUCUUCUUCGUCGUCUCUGGUUUUUGAAAUGACGAAGACGAUGGCAACGCUGGUUCUGGUCUCAACGAUUUCCUCUCCUUACAUUCUUUCCUUCUGCUCAUUUCCGUCUCCCUCUCGUGCUACUCCCCACUUUCUCUCUUGUCCUGCUGGCUCUCCCUCCUUGUCUCCUCCUUUUUUUUUUUCCUGUCCGUCUCUCCUCUGGCUUUAUAUAGCGAGAGGAUGCAUGCUUUUCGGGAUUUAUUGCAGGAAGGUUGUAACAGCCGGAGUGUAUCAUGGUGGAGAAGGAUAUCAGCCGUGAGACAUGCUCCCCUGAUUGAAGCAGCUCCACCGCUAACAUCUUCACUACCUUUUACUGUAGAAACCGUUGUUGAUGAAGAAGGUAAUGAACAGUUGUCAAGGAAAUGGUACCGUUUUAAAAUUCAAAAUGAAUAUUUCCGAUUUGGUCAUUGGAUUUUUUGCAAUUUUGUAAUCAAGCCCCCGAAUAAAUUGUAAAUGGAUCUCUGGAUUUUAGCCCCAUUUACAAGACAAUUUUUUGUUCUGGAUUCAUGCAAUUUGACCCUCAAUUGAUCAAUAAACUUCUAAUUUCUUCAAUUUAACCCCUGAGUUGGUCAAUUGCAGCCUCUCUAUUUACGUGUCUUUUCCGAUUUGGUCCUUGGUUUCGUAUUUUUUCAAUCAAGUCCCUAAUUGCCCAUAAAACUUUAAUAAUUAUGCAAUUAAGCUCCUGAUUUGACCAAAUCAACUCUUCAAAAUUAUAAUUGUACCCUAGAACUUUAAUUUCUUCCAAUAAAAGCCUAAAUCGACAUAAAACUUAAUUUUUCUUUCAAUCAAACCCUCCAUAAAUUCAAUUAAACCCUCAAUAAAAUUUAAUUUAGUCCAUAAACAUCUGAUUUUGGAUAUAUUUUUUUUAAAAAUGAAUUUUCUUUGUCAACAGGGCUCUCAUUAGUCAACGAUAUACUAUCAAAUUUCAAUCUUUGUAUUUUUUAACCUCCUCAACCAAUUUUUAGCUAUUUUGGGCGGUCCAACAGCUUUCUCACUACGACAUAUAUUUUUAUUUAUUUAUUUAUUAUUAUUAUUUAUUUACUUUUUUUCGACUCUUACUUUUUGUAUUUUCUUCUUUUUUGUGUGAGGUCCUAAAAAUGGGUAACAAUACUUAAGUUCAAAUCUAUUAAUAAAAUAUAGUUUUAUUGAAUUUUUUUAUAUACUUUUAUUAGAGAAAUCAAUGUAAACAAAUUUACGGAAAAACAUUAGUUUAUCAAGUACUUAAAUAGAAAAAUAAAAUCAAUUAGAGUACUUGAAUAAAAAAAAUAUAAAUUAUAAGCAUUUUAUAUAUCUUUAUCGUUCAUACAUUAAGAUAUUUUAUUGAUUAAAUUUUGUGAAUAUAAGUAUUCAAAUUGAAAAAAAAAACAUUGAUGCAAGCUUUUAAAUAAAAAAAAUUAUAAAAUACAUAUAAUUUGCACUUCUCAUUGUCUCUUUCGCAUUGCUAACACUUAACAAAUUGAAUAUAUAAUUCUCGUGUGAAUAACGUCAGAAUAAAUUUAGUUAUAUGACAUUAUAAUACCUUUUUAUUUUUAUAUUUUAAAAAUAUUUUAAAAAAAUUAAAUUGUUUUAAAUAGAUAACUUUUGAAUCAUCAAGUAGUGAAACACAAGAAAAGCGAAGAAAGUGAAGAAUAAUCAAAGUGGUGCGGGUCCACAUCAAUUUUUGUCCAUGUUUUUGGUAUUAAUCUCUUCAUCUAUUUACAGCCGGAGAAAAGAACAUCACCUACUACUUUUCUUGUCUCUUCUUGCUUGGAAGAUAAGGCAUGUGAACCUUUGAGUGCCACUCAUUUUAGUACAUAGACUUGGUUAUUUGACCACAGCUUCACCACAAGUUAAAUUGUUUUAAUUAAAAAAAAUUAUAUAUAGAUUUCUUCAAUAAAUUUUUUAUUUAAAAUUUUUUUAAGUGAAAAUUGAAAAACUUAUACACAAAUAUUGUUAAAUAAAUCAAGAAUUUUGUGUAUUAAUAAGUGAAAAAAACCAUAAAUGAUGACUUAAAAUAAAAACUGGAAAAAUCAAUAAACAAAUGUAGAUCAAAAUAUUUAAUUUCACAAAACGUGAUAUUACAGUUGUGUUUUCUAAAUUUUCUAAUUAAAAUAAUUUUUUAAUUCGAUCAAACGAUAAUAAAAAUAGACACACAUAUUAUAAAUUGAUUGAAUAAAAUAAAAAAUAAUAAUAAUAUGUCAGGCUUCAUAUAUUGGAAAUAUUUUUUGAAAAUAUUUUUUUUAUUUUUAAAAAUAUAGUUUAUCUAUUAAAAAAAUUAUAUAUUAAAUUCAAAAUAAAUAAACUUUAAAAUAAUUUGCAAGGCUGCACAUAAGCCCUUUAAAAGGAAAGUGAUAUAACAAAAGUGGAACAAUUUUUAUUAACUAAAUAAACUCUAUAACUAUUAAUAUUAAAUUCAAAAUAUAUAUUAAAAAUAAAUAUUAAAACCUAUUAUAUUAAUUUGUGAAUUUAUCAAUUGAGAUGUGAAUUAUAUUUCUAAAAUGUUAUAAGAAAUUUCUAUAUACUACAACUAGCUUAAGAAAAUCAAGUUCAUCGAAACCGUAGAGUACAGAAAAAAAAUGAAUUGCAUGAUUAACCAAAACUUAUAUUUCUUCUUAAAACGUUGACCCCAAGUCAAGUUUUUUUUUUUUUUUGAAAAAAACAUGAAUACAAGGUUAAUGCUAGGCACAUGACGAUGAUGGAUAUACAAGACCUGCUCCUUUCUUUAUGGAAAUUACGUGUGGAAAAUUUAGGCCUUGAAAAAAAUUAAAAAAAAAAUACUAUUAAUCAUGUUAUUUGCAUUAUGGCAAAUAUAGAGACUUGAUUGAUAAAAAUUUAUAAGAGCAAGUAUUCAAAUUUUAAAAUAAAUAAAUAAAUCAAUUCAAGUUUUUAAUUAGAAAAAACAAGAUACAAAUACUCUGUGUAAGUGCCACUAACUCUUUGUAUUUUCUAACUAUUAAAGAAUUGAAUAUAUAAUACACGGGUGAUAAACAUCAAAAUAAAUCCAAUUGUAUAAUUUACUAAGAUUUUAAAAACUAACACUACAUAGAAAAAAAAAUCUUAAAAUAAAUAACAGAAAACUUGUAUUCCUUCGAGGGGUGUUUGAGAGUGUGGUAGCGGUUGCUUUUCAAAGUUUUUUCCCUUAAAAAUGCAUCAAAAUAAAUUUUUUUGAUUUUUUAAAAAUUAUUUUUAACAUCAUUAUAUCAAAAUGAUCUAAAAAUAUUAAAAAUAUAUUAAUUUAAAGCAAAAAAUAUAAAAAAAAUUAAAAAAUUUUAAUAAUACUUUUAAAAUACUAAAACAAACAAGAUAUUAAAAAAUAUACUACAAGUCAAAGUCUUUUUGAAAAAAAACAUUAAUAAAAGGUUAAUGGCAGGUAGCUUAUUUUCUGCCCUAAUAAAGCUCAAGGUCUGUUCAGAAAACUAAGUACGUAGGCAUACACCCAAUCCAAGCACCAUCAAAUCAUUUUUUAUACAUAGGGAUAGGAACGCUAGCUUCACAUGAUAGAUAAAAAAAAUUAAAAGAUAAUAAAAUUAAAAAAAUAAUUAUAAUCUUAUAUAUUAUUUUAAAUAAAAUAAAUAUUGAUUAAAAAAACCAAAUAUAAUAAAUUAAAAUAUUUAAUUUAAAAAAGAUAAGAGAAAAGUAAAUGAGAAUUAAAGUUGAUAUAAAAAUUAAAUUAUAAAAUAUAAAAUUCAAAAAAAAAAUAAAACCAAUUUUUUUUUUCUAAAAGAUAAUAUUCAGAUUAAAAGCAUUAUAAAAAGAAUAGCUCCUUGUUUCUUCCUUGUUUCAAUUUCAAGAUAUUAAGAUUAAAACCCAAUCGUAUAGCUGGUUGGGUUGAGAAGAAAGGUUUGCUUUUGUAUUACAAAUUAUUUAGAUUAGUUUUUUUUUAAAAUUAAUCAAAUUAGUAUCAUUUUGGUUCUCCAUCGAAGAAAAUAGAAAACAUAUUUAGUAAUAAGGUGUUGUUUAAUUCCUUAUAUUAUUAAUAUAAUCAUGGCAUCAUCACUGUAACAAUAAGUCCUCUUACUUGUAUUUUCACCGUCCCAACCUCUUUACAUGGCGUCACCGUAGCAAUUAUAUAUCUCUUGAUCAAUCAUAAUUAAAUUACUGUAAUAAUAUCUUUUUUUAUUCUUUUAUAUGAAGUCUUAAUUUAUUUUUUUAUAUAGGUAGUUAUGAAUUACAGAAAUUGAACAAUUUAGAGAUCUUUGACUUAGAAUCUAAUUGUUUCGAUAACAGUAUUAUAUUAUAGAGGGAUUUUUAUCCCUUAAAUUAUUAUAUUUAGAUUAAAAAAUAAAAACUAAUUAGGAGUCAAUUAAAUAAAUAAAUAAAAACCCUCAAAAGAUAAAAGAAGAAAACAUAAAAAGUACACUACCCAACCAAUAAUUGACCUGAAUCACAUGUUGUCCACUGCCAGAACUUAUUAGCAAUCUGCUUACAACAGCAAAUUGAUCAAUAAGAAAGACUUAAAUUCCAAAUUUAAAAACCAACUCAAUUGAGAUCCUUAUUAUUCAUUCAAUUAGUUGCUUCUUGCUAACUCUUUUAUUUCCUUUAUAAUUUUAAUUCAUUUUAAUAUAAUUUCUUGAUUGUGGCAAGCUUCCUUUAUCUCAAGAACUUGGAAUACUUGGAUUUCCCAAGAAAAAAUUAACUUAAGACUUUAGUUAAUGCUAUGAACACGAGUAAAUGAUAUGCUAAAGAAAAAACCAUGUAUUUAAGAACCAUUGCUAAGCUACAGGUUCAGGAGCCAUAAACCACUCACAUUUAGUGGGGUUGAUCUCAAAUUCAGACAAAUCUACUUGUCCAGUUCGGAGAACCUUCAAACAAAAAGAAGAAUGAAACCUUGUAAAAUUGGCUAUCAUCAAAAGGACAAGAAACAGUACAAGAAGGAUCAGCCUCGCAUUUCUUGCAUAAGUAAAAGAAUCCACUUGUUAAUGGAAAGGAGGACUCUGCAACAAGUCUAAAAUAUCCUCUGGAGUUCAGUGACCCUACAACCUUAUAUUUACCUCAGAAUGCACCCACGUAAAGCACACAGGAAAUCCCAACACAUAAGACAACAAAAGAAAACAUAUAAUUAGCAGAAAAAAAAAGGUUGUACAAUUCUUUCAUAGCUUACAGUACGUAUAGAAUAAGCAUUAUCAAAUCAGGCUAACAUACCUCAGGUAAGUGAGAUGUUAAUCCUUCUUCAAGCGGCAAUGUCUCAAUCAAUGACAUUAUCAAAUCAGGCUUCAGUAUAUCCCCUAAUCCCAAGCCUAGGACAACAAAAGAAAACAUCAUGAAAAAAAAUGAUUUUACAGUAAUGCACCCAGUGCCAGAGCAUAUAAUUAGCAGAAAUAAAGGUUGUACAAUUCUUUCACAGCUUACAAUACGUAUAGAAUAGGCAUUAAUAAUUACCUUCAUCUGGAUCGGCCAAACUACCUGCAACAUCUAUCAUCACAUCACGGCGCGGGCCACCCUAAGUACAGCAAACAAGGAUAUGGUCAAUUGCACUAUCUGAGCAUAACACAGAUAUUACUCAGGAUUCUUUGCAAGUCUUCCAAUUUCACUGGUUCUGAUGAAGAGUUUACAUCAUUCAUUACUUCUGCACCAAGGUCUGGGACAACUAAGUUUCCAGUCCUGAGAGCUAUGAGCAAAAAUCUCAUCAGAAUAAAAGAAAAUGGCAACGUAAUACUGGGCCAUUUCUUUUUUGUAAUAAAAGUGCUCCUUAACCUUUUUGAAGUUAUUUUACAAUGAAUUACAAGCAUUAAACUUGUAUAUACAUGGACAAACACCAAGUUAUGAUUCUAAAUUUCCAUAUAAAAGAUGCCCCAAGUUUUAAAAUUUACCCCGAGGGCAAGUCUGUGCAAGAGCAUAAGGGGAUGAAGGAUUUGACAUGGACUAAGGUGGGUGAGAUGUUUUUGUCAAGAAAUGAUUUUGGAAAAUUUCUUGAUAUUUCUUGAAUAAAUAAGAUAGGAGUCUUCAUCAAGGCAAGAACAUAGGCUCUCCAAGAUAAUUGACCAGAAGGAGAGAAGGGAGGCUCAUCCUGCUCCACAGACUCUUAGUCUCAAAGAACAAAAAAUUACUUGGCUCUAUAUCCUUACUCUUACUUGCUAUAUCAACUCUUAGAGUUGAAGUAUCUGAAAGGGUUUAUUUUUAGUAUUUGAAUAAGUCCAUGAGUCCCUAGUCUUCAGGAAGAUAUACAUGGUCAAGAUUAAAUUAAGGAUUUUAGUUGCUUAUUUUUCGUUAUUUCAUGUGCCACGUUACUGUGAACGUGAGCUAUUUUUCAGUCUUAUUAUUAUUCCUGUAAGGCUAUUUAUUAGCCAUUUCCAUUCAGUAAAAGCAAUUCAUUCAAUUCAAAUACUGUGCACUUUUGUUCUUAUUCUUUACAAUUGGUAUCAGAGCUAUUACAUCUGACCUGUUACGAAGAAAUAGAUACAAAAGGAAGACAUAUUUUUGAGUGACUUCAAACUUAGAGUGAGUGAGUGCUUGAGUGCUUUUAAACACAGAGUGAGUGAGUUUGAGUGUUUUUUAAACACAGAGUGAGAAAGAGAGUUCUUGAGGGUCAAUUUCAACAAUGGCAGCAGAGUCCAGCAAUUUUGUAUCACCUUGCAUCCCGAAAUUUGAUGGAGACUACGAGCAUUGGAACAUGCUAAUGGAGAAUCUCUUGCAUUCCAAAGAGUAUUGGAACGUUAUUGAGACAGGAUAUGUCGAGCCUGCAUCAGGGGAAAUUCUGAAUAAUGCACAGAAAAAGACAUUGGAGGAGACAAAGCUGAAAGAUUUAAAGGUUAAAAAUUACCUUUUUCAGUCCAUCGACAAAUCCAUUCUGAAGACUAUUACUCAAAAAGACACAGCAAAACAGUUGUGGGAUUCCAUGAAGAUCAAAUACCAAGGAAAUACAAGGGUUCGGCGUGCUCAACUUCAAAUCUUUCGCAGGAAUUUUGAAGUGCUGGAAAUGAAACAAGGAGAAACUGUCACAAGUUAUUUUGGAAGAGUUAUGCUGGUGGCAAAUGACAUGCGAAAUCUGGGAGAAAGCAUACCUGAUGAGAAGAUUGUAGAGAAGAUUUUACGCACACUUACUGAGAAGUACAAUUACAUAGUGUGCUCCAUUGAGGAGUCUAAAGAUAUUAAUCAUCUUUCAGUUGAUGAGCUGUAGAGUUCAUUACUUGUUCAUGAACAGAAAUUCAAAAGGCAUGACACAGAUGAUCAUGCCCUGAGAAUCUAUGAUGACAGAUUCUGUGGCAGAGGUCGUGGCAGAAACAAUUACAGAAGCCGAGGCCGUGGGGGCAGAACACAAACAUUCAAUAGAGACAUGGUGGAAUGUUUCAGGUGUCACAAACUUGGACACUUCCAAUACGAGUGUCCAACCAUGAACAAGGCAGCUAAUUAUGUGGAGCUAGAUGAUGAAGAUGAGAUGCUGCUAAUGUCCUAUGUUACAUUAGCUAAGACAACACGGAAUGAUGCAUGGUUCCUGGAUUCAGGAUGUUCUAAUCAUAUGUGUGGUUAUAGAGGUAUGUUCUCCUACUUGGAUGAAAAUUUUCAGCAUUCAGUCAAACUUGGAAACAAUAGCAGAAUGGCAGUAGUUAGCAAAGGCAGAGUAAAAUUACUAAUCAAUGGUAUUAAGCAUGUUGUUAAUGAUGUCUAUUAUGUACCAGAGCUUAAAAAUAAUUUACUGAGCAUAGGUCAACUACAAGAAAGGGGCUUAGCAAUUUUAAUUAAGAAUGGAGUUUGUAAGAUUUACCAUCCUGAGAAGGGUUUGAUCAUUCAAACCAAGAUGAGUGCAAAUUGGAUGUUCAUCCUACUUGCACAGACUCAAGCUCCCGUACAUGCACAGACUCAGAAUCAAGAGAAUUGUCUUCUCACCGGUUCUCAAAAUCCCUCAGUGCUAUGGCACAGACGGUUCGGUCACUUAAGCUACAAAGGCUUAAGAACCUUACAAUGGAGACAUAUGGUACAUGGACUGCCCACCUUCUCGACUCCCACCAUCACCUGCACAGAUUGCCUCAAUGGCAAGCAACACAGAGAGGUCAUGCCCAAACACAGCAAAUGGAGAGCAAAUCAGAAAUUGGAAUUAAUUCAUGCAGACAUUUGCGGUCCUAUUUCCCCCGAAUCCAAUAGUGGCAAAAGGUACAUAUUAUGUUUCAUUGAUGAUUUCAGCCGAAACUAUGGGCAUUUCUUUUAGCUACAAAAUCCGAAGCUUUCAUUUAUUUUAAGAAAUUCAAAGCUAUGGUGGAAAAAGAAACCCUAUUGCAUGUGAAGUGUCUAAGGACUGACAGGGGAGGAGAAUUUACCUCAAGUGAAUUCAACGAAUUCUGCAGCCAACAAGGUAUCAAACGGCAGCUCACCACGGCGUACACUCCACAGCAAAAUGGAGUUGCAGAGAGAAAAAAUCGAACCGUGAUGAACAUGGUCCGAUCAAUCCUCUCUGGUAAAGGGAUUCCAAAACCCUUCUGGCCAAAGGUAGUGAACUGGGCCUUCUAUGUGCUCAAUCGGUGCCCAACUUAUGCUUUGACAGACAUCACUCCUCAUGAGGCAUGGAGCGGAACUAAACCAUCAGUAGACCAUUUCAGGGUCUUUGGGUGCUUGGCCCAUGUUCACGUUCCAGAUGUGAAACGGAGUAAGCUUGAUAACAAAAGCUUUGUGUGUGUACUGUUGGGUAUGAGUGAGGAGUCAAAGGGGUACAAGUUGUUUGAUCCUUUAAACAAAAAAAUCGUGGUUAGCAAAGAUGUGAUCUUUGAGGAGGACAAACAGUGGGAUUGGGAUGUUGCUUAUGAAGAACAAAUCUUGACAGAUUUGGUUUGGGGUGACAGAGAAGGAACACGUGAAGAUGGUGAUAAUAGUGAUGACAAUCACGGGGAUGAGAGUGGUGAACGUGAGGCUGAAAUCAAUGGGGAAGAAGGGGAAGAAAACGAAGAACACAGACACAUUGUCUGUGAAGAUGAUGAAAAUGCUGAGAGAGAAGAAGAAGAAGCUGAGUUAAAUGAUCUUACGGUGUGUAUGCUGCCAGUUGGAAGAAUAGGUGAGCAGGUCAAUCCUACGGCAUGAACGCGGCCAAGUGAACAAAGGGAGAUGACAGAUGGCAAAAUAGAUGUUAAUCCAACGGUGAGAAUUCAGUCUGACAGGGAGAGUGAUUAGAUGACAUGUGGCGUACAUCCAACGGCACAAAACAUGGCAGACGGAGAGAAUGAGCUGCUGACAAGUGGAGACAAUCCAACGACUGACAUGCAAUCUGACGGGGAGAGUGGCCUGCUGACAAGUGGAAGAAGAGAAAGGGGUCCUCCGGUGUGGAUGCAAGAUUAUGUUACAGGGGAGGAUUUAUCUGAAUAUGAGUCCAAUAUGGCACUAAUUAUGUCUUCUGAUCCCAUUUAUUUUGAAGAUGCUGUGAAAGUUAACACUGGAGACUUGCUAUGGACAGUGAAAUUAAUGCAAUAGAGAAGAACAAUACCUGGACGCUCAACGAGUUGCCGGAGGGAGCAAAAAAAAUUGGAGUCAAAUGGGUCUACAAAACAAAGUACAACGAACAUGGGGAUGUUGAUAAAUACAAGGCAAGGCUAGUUGCCAAAGGGUACUCGCAACAACACGGAAUUGACUAUACAGAAGUCUUUGCACCAGUGGCAAGGAUGGAUACAGUAAGGAUGAUUAUUGCUCUCGCCGCUCAAAAAAACUGGAUUGUUUAUCAGUUGGAUGUCAAAUCGGCUUUUCUGCAUGGGGAAUUGCAUGAAGAUGUUUAUGUUGAUCAACCAAAAGGGUAUGAAAAGAAGGCUAGCGAACAUCUAGUUUACAAGCUGCAUAAAGCGUUGUACGGGUUAAAACAAGCUCCAAGAGCUUGGUUCAGUCGAAUCGAGGGUCAUUUUUUCAAUGAAGGCUUUCUACGGUGUGAAAGUGAGCAAACUUUAUUCACAAAGAGAAGCAGGGAAGGAAAGAUUAUCAUUGUAAGUGUUUACGUUGAUGAUCUAAUAUUUACUGGCGAUGAUACACAUAUGUUGUCUGAAUUCAAAAACUCCAUGAUGAGGGAGUUUGACAUGUCAGAUUUGGGGAAGAUGCGGUAUUUCUUGGGAAUCAAAGUAUUACAGCAUUCAGGUGGCACCUACAUAUGUCAGAAGAAAUAUGCACUAGAGGUGUUGAAGAGGUUUGGUAUGAUGGAAUGCAAUGCGGUGAAAAAUCCAAUAGUUCCCGGAUGCAGAGUCAACAAAGAUGAAGGCGAAGCUAAAGUAGAUGAAACAUAUUAUAAGCAGUUAGUGGGCAGCCUAAUGUAUCUCAUAGCAACAAGACCAGACAUGAUGUUUGUUACUUGUCUCAUCAGCAGAUACAUGGCCAAACCUACGGAACUUCAUCUACAAGUAGCAAAAAGGGCACUUAGAUAUCUAAGAGGGACAAUAAAUUUUGGAAUUUAUUACAAGAAAGGGGGAAGUGAUGAACUACUCUCAUUUACGGAUAGUGAUUAUGCUGGAGAUAUGGAGGAUAGAAAGAGUACAAGUGGAUAUGUUUUUUUGUUAAGCUCAGGAGCAGUCUCAUGGAGUUCGAAGAAGCAACCAAUAGUGACUCUUUCUACAACUGAAGCAGAAUUUGUAGCAGCCGCAAUGUGUGUAUGUCAAGCUCUUUGGAUAAAAAGAGUCUUGAAGGAAUUGGGACACUCAAAUAAUGAGUGCACACAAGUGAAAUGUGAUAACAGCUCAACUAUUAAAUUGUCCAAAAAUCCAGUGAUGCAUGGACGCAGUAAGCAUAUCGAUGUAAGAUAUCACUUUCUGAGAAAUCUUACUAAAGAAGGUACAAUUGCAUUAGUUCAUUACGGAAGUCAGGAUCAGGUGGCAGAUUUAAUGACCAAGCCUUUAAAGCUUGAUGCAUUUCUGAAACUAAGAACACUGUUGGGAGUCCAAGAAAUUACUGAUGUAAACUAACUGCAUACUGCAGUAAGUUUAAGGGAAGGAAUGAAAGGGUUUAUUUUUAGUAUUUGAAUAAGUCCACGAGUCCCUAGUCUUCAGGAAGAUAUACAUGGUCAAGAUUAAAUUAAGGAUUUUAGUUGCUUAUUUUUCGUUAUUUCAUGUGCCACGUUACUGUGAACGUGAGCUAUUUUUCAGUCUUAUUAUUAUUCCUGUAAGGCUAUUUAUUAGCCAUUUCCAUUCAGUAAAAGCAAUUCAUUCAAUUCAAAUACUGUGCACUUUUGUUCUUAUUCUUUACAGUAUCAUCUUUGAGUAUGCUUAUUUGUUAUAAUAAAUAUACCUUGAUGAGAUAUUAUCUUUAAGCAUGUCUUCAAAAACUUGGAAAGGAGUAGAAGCAUCAGGCUCUUCUUCAUCAAGGAACUCUGCCAGGCAAUAAGAUAAAGUAGCGACGUUGCUGAUGGAAAAACUUCACUCUUGAAUGAGUGCUGAAGUUAUAAGCCAGGUCAUUAGUUUGAAGGAGUAAAACUGGUUAGUAAAAUUUUAGGAAAACCAAUUCACACAUACGGAGUGUGUAACUAAAAUAAAUAAACAGGAAGUAGAAAACAGGAAAUCCAAUUAGUCUAAUAUGAUAUUUCUGUGAAAUAGAGGUUUUCUUUAUGAAAUUGUGGAGAUGAGAGGAGAUAAAUGCAGAUGCAAGAUAAAAAAAAACAAUAAAAAAAAACACAAAAGUAGCAUGGCUAGCAAAGGACUCAAAACACAAAAGUAUUUACCAAAUGGACGAUUAAUAUAAUAGUUGAUAGAGCUACACAAUUGUGAAUCAUCUUUAGCUUUUGGCUCCUGCAAACAUGUUACACAAUUUUCCAAAAUCAUGCAACUAACAGCCGAGUCAAUGUUACACAUAAGAGAGUGAAAAACACAGAAAAUGAACCUGACCUGCAUCCAAAUGAAAAACUUUCAAUCAUCUGUAUUGAAUUUCAAGAUGUAAACUCUUCCCAAAGCUUGAUUAACCUGAAUAACCCAAAGAAUUAUGAAUCUAUGAUAUUACAAUCAAUUAUUAGAGUCAAAUAUCUCCCAUCUAAGAAAAAACUAAGAGAGAAAAGUGUACCUUCUCAAAAACAGCCUCUUCAGAAAAAAAAAUCUGAUCCUGUCAAUCAACACGUCAAGAAAAAGCUACCAAGUUCUUACCUCAAAAGAAUAUUAACAAAACAAACAACAGAAAAAGAAAUAAAAACCAAUGUUGGAAGAGAGAAACAAAAUCCCCAGGCUAAAAAACAUAAUAAUAACUAGGACACAUCUUCCACAGCAUUCAAAUUCCUAUCAAGCCACUGGAAAUGAAGCAAACCCUCGUCACCCUGGAACAAUUCAAAAAUUUCGACUUCAAACAGGAAACAAGAUGCUAGAAACACUCUAUCUAGUACUUAAGAUAAACCAAAACAACAGAAGUAACUAAAAAUCUUUACACAGGUACGAACUCUGUAUAACACAAAAAAACCAAAAGACACCAGUUUACCCUUCCAAUGCGAACAAGUCCUUUUCGAGAAUCAGGAACAAACUUUUUUCCAUCAAAAACCAUUUUACCAGCACGAAACUCCAACAUAAUUUCCUACCAACAAAACAACCACAACAUCAUAACAUAACCCCAUCAAGAAAAACAUACUUAUACAUCCAAAAAAGCAAUUACAGGCUCUAAUUAAUAAGAUACAAGAUUUUAAGCAAAACCCACAAUUUUAAAAGUGAUUUUAUUUACCUGCAUUGCUGAAAUAUCUACAGCUGAUGAAGAACCCAUUUUUCGCAUACUUCCUCUAAAGCUUCCUUUUUUCCAACACUGCAAAAAAAAAAAAAGAAGAACAAAUCAAAUACCCAAAUCAGAAACAAUAACAGAAAAAAAAUAAAAGAAAAUCCAAUGCUGGAAGUUGUAAUCAGGAGGAGAACCAUACAAUUUCUGAUGGAAUGACAUUUUAUCAAGAAUUGAACUAGGCAUUCAGUUAAUUAAAUAGGUUGUAAACUUGUAAUCAGGUGAGAGUAGUGUCAACAUGUUUAGUUUUCCUCUCGGAAGUGUCAUUCUGCACAAAUCAGUGUUUUAAAAAUAUUAAAAAAAAAAUUUAAUUUGUUUUUAAAUUUGUUUUUUAGUGGUUUUCAUUUAUUUUCGUGUAUUAAUAUUAAAAAUAAUUUUUAAAAAAUAAAAAAUAUAUUAUUUCAAUUUAUUUUAAAAUAAAAAAAAAACUUAAAAAAAAUACUGUUAACACAGUAUUAAACAAACUCGAAUCCUAUAACCAGAUGAACAACGUUAAGAUAUUUGUUUUUUGUUUUUUGUUUUUUUUGAUAAUGAGGAUGUCCUAAACAAUCUUGCCUAAUGAUUGUUAAGAAAUGAAAGAGGCAAUGCAUGGCUAAACCAAUGGAAGCUAAAAAGCUAAUGAUGCCCCUAGCUAGUAAGCAAUUGUUGCCGCAAUGACAUAUGCCUCAUUAGAGAUAGAUUUGAAUUUACAUAUUAUUAUUAUCAUAUAUUUUGUAUUCUCGUUUAAAAAAAUAAAUAUUUUCCUUAUAUGGAGUAGAGUGUUUUUAAUUUUAUCAUGUAAAAUUUAUAUAUAUUUUAAAAAUUAAUACAAUAUACAGUUAAACAUCUAUAAAUUAAUAUCAUUGAGACCAUGAAAUUUAUUAAUUAAUCAAGAUAUUAUUUAGUAAAUAAAUUUAUACACUUAUCCAUUAAUCACAAAAAAAUUUCUUUUUCAAAAACAUUGAACUCAAUACAUGCAUUGUGUAUUCUGAUUAUAUGAAUAUUAUCUAAUUAUCAAAUUAUGAAUUAUCAUAGUUCUAUAUAUUUAUUUAAAUAAAACAAGUUUAAGAAUUAAUGUAAUCGAUCUUAUUAAUUAAUAAAAGUCAUGUAUGUAUCUAUUUUUGCAAAUUGGAUGCAUACUUAAUUAAUAUUAAGUCAAGAACAAAACCAAAAAAAGGAAUAUACAAGUGAGCCAAACAACAAUAUUAAAAACGAAUAAGAGGUUGAAUUAAUAUUCAUUAACUAAUAAUAAAAUUAAGAAGAUGAUACCAAAGGACACAAAAUCACAAAAAUUCGUGAAACUACAUAAGGCGGUUUGUUCAAUACCAAGAAAUUAAAUAUUUAAAAAAAAACUAAAUGAAUUGUUUAAAAAGUUAAAAGAAAAUAAAUGCACUUUUGUCCACGUCAACAACAACUAUAACAAAAUGCUGGGCUGUAGAAGAUUUUCCACAGCAACCUGAAAAAAUCAUAUAUGCUCAAGUAACUAUUUGGUAGAGCGUAUUUGGAGUGCUAAUAUCUUUUCUUUAUGGAAUCAGUCCUCGUACUCGAUCUCUGAAACCAGUUAAGGUUCUUAGUGACCAAAAUACUAGGUAGCGACUCUCAUUCCAUUUUUCCACUAAUAAAAGACAAGAAUUCCUUGUCUCCCCAUAGAUGCCUGAUAGAUAAUACAUUUUGAGAGUGGAUAUUUUCACCGCAACAUCGUAUACGUGCGACAUUAUGUAUACAGGUAUUUCACGAGAUGAUGCGGAGUGUUAAAUAUAAGCUUUGUGUUUAAAUCUGUUUUUUUAUGUAAUAUCUUUUGUUUUAUAUGUAAUUUGUAUUAUAUGUAGAUUUUAAUAUAUGAAUCCUAAAGAUAUUUGCUUUUGGUAUUUAUACAUUUAGAAUGUAUGAGUAAGGAACUAAUAUUAGUAAACUAUUUGAAAAGAAUACUUAAUAAUUAUAAUUAUGCAUGUUUAAAAGAUGGAUGCAUGUUAACGUAAUAAUUAGUUCAAUAUGAAUCCUUUGAGUUUAUAUUUGUAUGCAGUUAAUGUUUUAUUUUAAGAGAAUAUAAUUGCUAUGUUUUAUUUUUUUAUGAUGUAAGGUUGAGAAAGCACAACAAAGUAUUGCUAUGUGAAAUAUUGUAUGAUGAGAUGGGAUAUGAUCCAGGAUGGUUGAAUUGAAAUAGAAGAUUGAGUAUUGUGAUUGAAUGAAGUCUAGUCGAUAACUUGGUAACAUAAAAAAACAAAAGAAACUCUGCCGAAUUUUCUGUAGAAAAUUAGAUUUAUAUAAUAACUAUUACUUUGAUGAUAUAACUUUGAGAGUGAUACAUCAAAUGUGAGAUAUGUUAGACAAUAACCGCAAGACAAUAACGGUUCAAGACGUAGACAAUAACAAUUCAAAUUUCGGUAGUCCUCAUAUGAAUACCAUAUAUAUAUAUAUAUAACUUUACUCUGUUUUUCAGUUGCAUGAUAUUGUUAUUUUAUCCCGAUUGAGGGGGUGUUAUAAUUAUGGUCUUAUGAUCCGAGUCACUGAUUUAAAAGGUUAACCUAGAUUGACCCGGGUCGAUCCAAUAUGUUGUUAUCUCAAUAUUUUUUAAAAAAAUAUUAUCUUGAAUUUUUUGAAGUAAAACUAUAUGUUUAUCAGUCGUCCAGACUAUCUUUGGACUCAUUGAAUCGAUUGGGUCAUAUCGAUUCAACUCUUUUUUUUUAGUUAUAUUUGAAAUUUAAAUUGUAUAAUUUCAAAUUGGUUUGUUUUUAAAUGUCAAUUAAUAUAUAUAUAUAUAUAUAUAUAUAUAACAAUCCAAAAUGACAGGUUAAAAUACUAAAAAACCAAAACAUAUUGUUACAAUUAAAAAAAUAAAAUACCAAUUAAAACGGAAUUAAUUGACAACUUGCUUGGUAGAAGCAUGAAACUCCUCGCUGACAUUUGCAAGAGAUAGUUACUUAUACCAGUAGCAAUUUAGUAAUGAUUGAUCAGCAUUUAUAGUAAGAUGGGGCUAUUAAUUCAAAUGUUGAUGGCAUUAGUAACAAUGAUUUUCUUGGAAGGAUUGCUUCCUCUUGGUUGCUUGAAAAUAUACGGUUUUUUUUUAGUUCAAAUCUAUUAAUAUAAAUAUAGUUUUAUUGAAUAUUUUUUAUAUAAUCUUAUUAGAGAAAUCAAUGUAAACAAAUUUAUGGACAAACACUAGAUUAUCAAGUAUUUAAAUAGAAAAAUAAAACAUUGAUACAAGCUUUUAAAUAAAAAACAUUUAUAAUAAAUAUAAUUUGUACUUGUCAUUAUCUCUUUUUCAUUGCUAACACUUAACGAAUUGAAUAUAUAAUUCUCAUGUGAAUAACGUCAAAAUAAAUUUAGUUGCAUGACAUAAUAAUACCUAUUUGUUUUUUGUAUUUUAAAAAUAUUUAAAAAAAUUAAAUUUUUUUAAAUAAAUAACUUUUGAAUCAUCAAGUAGUGAAACACAGGAAAAGUGAAGAAAGUGAAGAAUAAUCAAAGUGGUGUGGGUCCACAUCAACUUUUGUCCAUGUUUUUGGUAUUAAUCUCUUCAUCCAUUUACAGCCGGAGAAAAGAGCAUCACUCAGUGCUUUCCUUGUCUCUUCUUGCUUAGAAGAUAAGGUAUGAGAACCUUCGAGUGCCACUCAUUUUAGUACAUAGACUAGAUAUUUGACCAUAACUUAACUGUUAGUUAAUUGUUUUUUCAAUUAAAAAAAUUUAUAUAUAGAUUUCUUCAACGUAUUGUUUAUUUAAAAAAUCUUAAGUGAAAAUUAAGAAAUUUAUACACAAAUAUAGUCAAAUAAAUUGAGAAUUAUAUGUGUUAAUAAGUGAAAAAAAAACCAUAAACGAUGACUCAAAAUAAAAACUGGAAAAAUUGAGAGACAGGUGCUGAUCAAGAUAUUUAAUUUCACAAGACGUGACAUUUAUGCAGUUGUGUUUUUAAAAUUUUCUAAUUAAAAUAAUUUUUUAUUCAAUCAAACGAUAAUAAAAACAGACACACAUUAUAAAUUGAUUGAAUAAAAUAAAAGGAGAAAAAAUAAUAUGCAAGCCUACACAUAUUAAAAAUAUUAUUUGAAAAUACAUUUAUUUUUAUUUUCAAAAAUAAAAUUCAUCUAUACAAAAGAUUUUUAAAAAAUAUAGAUUAAUCACAAAAACCUCCUCAAAAAUUAAAUGCAUAAUUAAAAAAUAAUUAUCAUUUCAAAUAGGCUUUCUAAAUAAUAUAAAAGAGAGAAGGGAUAUAAAUAUAAAUAUAAAUAAGAUUAAGAUUAAGAUUAAUUUAAAAAAAUACAAACAAAAAAAAAGAAAAUAUUUUUUCUUAAACAAAAAAAAGUGAACAAUGUCGUUCACAGUAAAACUUGUGGGGUGAACUCGAACUCAACCGAGUUUAAUAUUUUUCCUCUUAAAUUUAUAACAAACCUAAAAAAAGUAAACAAUGUCGUCCAUUGUAAAACAUGAGGAGGUGAAUAGUGCAACUACACAGUGUUCACCUUAUAUAUUUUUCCUCUUAAAUUUAUACCAAAACCGUAAUAAAAAAAGGUGACCAAUGUUGUCCAUAGUAAAACGUGAGGGGGUGAACAACGCAUCUUCAUAGUGUUCACCCCGCACACCUUAGCUUAUUUAGGGUGAACCUGAAUCAUGAACUCAAUCGGGUUUAAUAUUUUCCCCUCUUAAAUUUAUAGCAAACCUAAAAAAAAGGUAAACAAUAUAGUCUAUAAUAAAAUAUGAGGGGAUGAACAAUACAGAUGCACAAUGUUCACCUCACAUAUUUUUUUCCUUAAAUUUAUAGCAAAACCUAAUAAAACAAAUAGUGAAUAGUAUAUUCAUUGUAAAACGUGAGAGGGUGAACAAUGUGGCUAUAUAAUAUUCACCCCACAUGCUUUAGAUUAAACGUGAGAUGGUUAUUUUUUAAAAUAAAAAAAAAUUAAUAAGCAGGCUAUUACAAUGCGCUUUUUAAUGAUGACGAUAUUUGUAGCAAAAAUUUCAAAGGAUUUAAUACAAAUCCAAGCCAAAAUAUUUCACUAGAUUACUAUUUUACGAUCUUCUUAAAACUUGGGUUCGAGCUUGUCAUGUUGAAUCAUCUCUUCUAGAAUCCUUUUUACCGUCUAAUGACUGCCGCUUAUGUUUGUGCAAUUUCUUGUUUACUAGUAAAAUUGUACAGACGUGGGCUUGAAGCUGUUAACUUUCCCUGGACUGGUUAUGUAAUAUAUUUAUAGGUCUAACUGUAUACUAUCACUUGGUCCAAGAGGCAAUAUUGCAAGAUUCCAACGAAAUCUACUGUAAUCUACUGUCCUGGGACAAGAGUUCCAAAAACAUCUACUCCAAAUUUUGUUCUUUUUGAAUCUUUAGUUAUUUUUAUUUUUUCUCAUCAUUUUUUAAAAUAAAAAAUAUAAAUAAAUUACUACAAAAUGAAUAAAACAAAACCAGAAUAAAAAAGUAACAUUAAACAGCAGCCAUUUCAUCAGCUUUAAUUUUAGUAUAACACAAUAAUAUGAACCAACCUUGAUUCUCGAAGGCACCCAACUAAUUCAUUAGCCUUCAAAUUGCCAUCACCUAAUUUCACGAUCCAUGACCGACAUAUAAACAAGGGUCCUCUCCAAGUUCCCAUACAUAUACGAAUCCAAAUAUACAUAGAAACUUAUCUUUUAAAUAAGUCAAUUAGAGUUCAACACAAUAUUAAUAACAAAAUUAAUUAAAUAAGUCAAUCAGAGUUCAACAUAACAUUAAUAACAAAAUUAACUUCAUAAUAUAAUUUGAUUGUCUUAAUACAAAAAUUAAUACAAAGUUCGUAGUUGUGGAGCACUAUCUAGACAUAAAAAAAAUCAUAACAAAAACAACAAGGGAGGGGGUUUGAUAGUAUGUAAUACAACAACUAGAAAUAUAUAUAUAAUUAUGGCUUUAGGUUUUUAUAAAAACGUUUUUUAAAUAGAUCAUAUAAGAACAACGGAGGAGGGGGUUUAACGGUAUGUAUUUGCCUGCUAGUAAAAAUUGGUUAGCACCUAAACAAGGUCCUGUGCUAAAUCUAAAUUGGUAAGAUGUGAUAUGCUAAUAUCUAGAAAGAUAACUUAAUCUAUCCAUUGAAGUAAAGCAUUUAAAUGCGUAUACAAUGUUUUUGGAACAUUAAAUAUCUAUUUGAUCAGAAUCUGAUGGGGCAAUAGGUGAUGCAGGCAUAAACUAGAAAGACAACAAACAAACACAAAGAAAAAAGAUUUGUUAAGCAAACAGGGUUGCAAACUUAAACACUAAAUUCGCAAUUUAUUAUUCUGAAAAAAGUCUAAUGAUGUUUGCCUCUCAAAGAGGUUUCUAAAACAUUUAAAUAUGCUAAAAAACCUAUCUCUAUUGGAAAAAAAAAAUUCAGAAUCCAAAAGAAUAAACAAAAACUACAUAAAAUCUGAAAUAAAACAAUAAAUAUGAAAAAAAUCAAGGAAAAAUAGCUAAAUUGGCUCAAAACAGGAUCUUAUGAACCUAAUUUCAGGGGAUCCGAACAUCAAAUGAUCAACAAAGUAUGUUUCCAAUUGAGAUGGGCCUUAGAAAUCUCCUAUAAAAAUUGAGAUCUAAGCAAAUUAAGUGAUAUUUGUUUGAGACUUCGCUAACUACAUAUAAAGGAAUUAAAAAUAAAUUAUGAUGAUCAAUUCAAAAUCAACAAAAUAUUAAAGUGAAAUUGGAAGCAAAAACAGGGCAAAAAUCAUUAAAUCAAAAGAAGAAAAAAUUAGAAGAUAGAAUUUAUUUAUUUUUUUUAAAAAAGGGGGGAGGAUAUGAAUAGUGAAGUAGGAGGGAAAAACCUAAUUUUUUUAGUAUAAUAAAUAAUUUUUAAUUAAAUUAAAAUCUUCAUCUCAUACAAUUAGACCCAAAAAGAGUUAAAUAAAAAAGGGAAGAAAAUUUCUAAAGAUAUAAGGACCAAUUUAAAAAAAUAAAAGGAAAAAAAAAUGAAAAAACACCAAAUCAAGAAACGAAAAAAUAUAAGGACCAAUUUAAAAAAACAAUAAAAAAUAUAAAGAGUGAAGGAGGUAGAGAAACAUAAGUUUUUUAGUAUAGUAGUUUAUUUCUAGUUAAAUUAAAAACUUUAUCUCAUAUAAUUAGGCCAAAAACAAUUUUUUAAAAAAAAUAAGGACUAAUUUGUAAAAAAAGAAGAGAAAAAAACAGAAUCAAAUCAAAAGGGAAAAAAAACUAAUUUAAAAAUAAAAAUAAAAUGCUUCAUUAUUCAUGUAAAAACAAAACAUCAUUAUAGUAUCCAACUAGACAAGUGACCUACACUACGGGCUAUCCUAAUUUUUUUAAAGCAAAAUUUUUUUUUAGCAUUAUUAGAUGUGAGAAAAUAUUUUUUAAAAAACAUACAUGUGUACAAGAUAGGAGAGAUUUGGUUUGAGAAUGCAUGCUAAAAAUCUAAACAUGAACUAAAACAAAGUGGAAUUAAAAAAAAAAAAAAAACUUAAAAGAGAUCAGUGAUUCAUUAUAGACUGUGAGGUAAAACACUGUAGAUUAGCAUAAUAUAUUUAUUUUUUGACCUUCUCUACGUAAAAUAAUUGCCUUGCUAACAGGGUAAAGUUGUUAUUUUCAAUGGAUCUAAAGGUUAUUUGUAAAUUGAUUGGGAAUAAUUUAGUAGGUUAGCUAUUUUAUUUGCGUAGUAAAAUGACGUCAAUACCCUUGAGAGUUCAAAAAUAUUGACCUUGACAAAGGCAUUUUUUAGUCUUUUCCAUGUUUUGUAUACUGUAAAAUGACAAAGUUAACCUUAGAAUAAAAAAAUCUAAAGCUGGUCUGGGAUAGCAUUUUCAUCUUUGCAAUAUAGCUUUUUUGUAAUAUUUAGAUGCUCUUAUGAGCUAUUUAGCAAUUUAAAGUAUUGAAAUAUUAAUAAAUCAAUAAACAAAGGCUGACAUGUGUGUAGCACGUGUCAACACGUGAUAGUCCACCACGUCAUUUGGGAGGCGUGUGAUAGUCCAACAUGUAAUAUGGAGGUGUAGUUGAUGACGUGGCGUGUCGUCAUAUUUGUAGUGGUUUAAUGGUGAUAAAAAAAUUUUCCCGUCCCCCUCUUUUCUCUCUCUAAGGCUUUAGUAUUCACGCCGAUGCUUUAAAAUUUCACUUGUAUCCUUUGGAUUGUAUUUAUAUUAAGUUUGAUUCUUAUUAUUUUAAUUUCUAUUUAUUUUGAUUUUAGUGUUUUUUAAAGAAAAAAAUUUCAAUUUCAUUCCUCAACAUUUUAUUUCAUUUAAUUUUUAUAUUAAACUUGGUCCUCAUUCUUUUAAUUACUAUUUUCUAUCCUUUACUUAAUUUUUUUAAUUUUAUUUCUUAUUAUUUUAUUUUAUUUUAUUUUGUUUGCAAUUGCAGUUCUUUUUUUUUUUUAUCCCUAGUAAGCAAUUGUUGCCGCAAUGACAUAUGCCUAGCAAGAGGAAAAAAAAAAAAAAAAAGAGACGCUUGAAGGUUAGAGAAGGCACCUCUGAGUGGAAGGAGGCUGAGGUGCGCUAUUUUUGAAGUAUGUGAAAAUCAUAUGUUUCAAUGCUACUUCUUGCAAGAGUCUCCUUAACCAACCUAGAGUGUUAUAUUAGACUGCUAACGUAUUUUAUAAAAAUAUUGAUAAAAAUAUUUUUGGAUAAUUUUUUUUAUUUUAUUUGAAUUUAUUUCUUAAAUAAUUUAAAUUAAUAAGAUAAUUACAUAAAAGAUAAUGUUAGUCAAGUUAUCUUUUUACCAACCAUAAAAAGAUUUUUACUAAUCCAAGCCAACAAAAUAACAAUUACAUGUAUAAAUUGUCAUAUGUUGGAAAAAGGAGUUAGCUCAUAUUUUAGGGAUUAUAUUAAAGUGUUAGCAUCUUGCCUGGUUAGAAAUAGAAUUGAAUUUACAUAUUAGUAUUAUCAUAUAUUUUGUAUUGUCGUUUAAAAAAAUAAAUAUUUUCCUUAUAUGGAGUUAAGUGUUUUUAUUUUUAUCAUGUAAAAUUUAUAUAUUUUUUAAAAUUAAUUUUUCUAAUCAUCAAAUUAUUUUUAUUUUUUAAAAUUUAUAUAUUUUUUAAAAUUAUUUCUUAAAAAUAAAUUUAUUUUUCUAAAAAAUUGAACUUAAUACAUGCAUAUUAUCUAAUCAUCAAAUUAUGAACUAUCAUAAUUCUAUAUAUUUAUUUAAAUAAAACAAGUUCAAGAAUUAAUGUAGAUCAAUCUUAUUGAUUAAUAAAAUUCAUGUAUGUAUCUAUUUUUGCAAAUUGGAUGCAUACUUAAUUAAUAUUAAAUCAAGCAAAAAAUCUAUAAAAAGAAUAUACAAGUGAGCCAAACAACAAUAUUAAAAACGAACAAGAGGUCGAAUUAAUAUCCAUUAACUAAUAGUAAAAUUAAGAAGAUGAUACCAAAGGACACAAAAUCACAAAAAAGCAUUUAACAUUCAGAGAAAGAAGCCUGCAACACCCAUUAAGGAAAAGAGAGAAGGGAAAGAAAUGUAGAUUAAUUGAUACAGAGGAUCACCUUGUUCCAGACCAGCGCGAGACUGUAGAAGAAUCCAGACGAACCAAGAGCAAAAAAUGCAGGAGAGAUAAUCAUGAGAGAAACAAAUUCAUAUAUCCACGAAUACGUACAACAUUUGAAACCUAUAAUGCAAGAAUAGCUGCAGAUGUACAUUAAUAUUUUUAAUUUAAAGAAUCAAUUAAUUAUUUAAAAAACUUGAGGGAUUAAUUUGUUUGUUUCACAUAAAACAGACACUAAUUAUAUAAAGUUUUACUCAAAAAACAGACACUAAUAAUCAUAUGCGUGAGUGUUUACUUGUAAAUAUUUUGGAAGGAACUGGUUUAUGUUUUGCGCAUCAUGAAAAAAUCAUAUAUGCUUAAGUAACUAUUUGGCAUCAAUCUAGUAAAUUAAUCUUAAAUUCCUUUUAUCCAACUCUUGCCGUUUUAAAAUUAAUCAAUGUAAAAGUUAACCAAACAUGAUAAAAUCAAUAUAAUGGGUUUACGAAUACAUAUUAAAUUAAUCUUGGUUUUAUAGCUUAAUUUUCUAAACUCACUACUCAAAUAAUGAACUACAUCUAGUUUUAAUUUUUUUUAUUUAAUAUUAUAAUAACAAUACCAUUUCAAAAUUAACCAAAUAUAUAUAUAUAUAUAUAUAUAUAUAUAUAUAUAUAUAUAUAUAUAAUAGAGUUUAAAAACAAAUGAACAAUAUGAUAUUGUUCCAUUUUACUAUAAUGAUGAAGUUUUCACAAAAUAUAAAACUUAAAUUAAAUUAAGGCAACAAUCAAUUCUUUAGCUUUAAAACGAUUUAUUAUUUGCUUUCUAGUGGUAGUAGUAGGAUGAUUGGAAUAAUUUUUUUUCCAUUAACAAUAGAAUUGAGAAGGCCCGCCACAGACCAAGAGGACAGCUUCAAUGAAGCCAUCCCAGCCGAUGCAGGUGAUUACCCGUCGGCUGACAUCUCCUCGCGCGCAUAGCACCAGCCAAACCACCUCAAUCUGAAAAUGCACCAGACAAAGUCAAUGGAAAGACGCCAGGGAGCCUCAGCAGCCGAGAAGAAAGCGAGGGAACACCCACCGCGCGAGAAACACGAAAAACAUAGAGGGAGCGCGGUAAAGACUGUGAAGCCACAGAAUUCACACAUUGUGCACCGUGUUUUAAUGAGCACUCUUAGUUUAUUUUAUAUAUAAUUCUUUUAGUUUUAGUUUUAGUUUGUUGUGUUAUGAACAGUAAAGCAGCACAAGAAUACGUCUGCGUCAAGCUCUGUUCACUUUGGUCCGACAUUCCUCACCUCUCCCCACCUUAGCUCUCUCUCUUUCCCUCCUCUGCUUUUAGAAACCGCCGCUGCCACCUCAACCAAUAAGGCUUCAAAUCUCACCCAGGUGCUUCCUUUUCUAUUAUGUUUUUGUUUUUUAAAAAAGAUUUACGUCCGCGUUUUCAUUUAUUUAAUUGAAGUUACUAUCCAAAGAGAGAAAUUCGAUUUUAAUAAGUAAAUUAAAAAGAUAUAUAAUCGGAUCCAAUGAAAUCGCUGCUCGUGAACGCAACUCGAAGAAAGGCGCAAUCAGUCGAUUCUACUGUGGGUGGAGCAUUUAGUAUGGUCAGGGUUAUUGUGUUGUCUAUUCAAAGAAAGAUGUGCCUGUAAAUUUAUUAAGUUGAUUCUUAUCAGUCUGCUCUUUAGAGUUGAUGAUAACAUGAAAUAUUCAUUGUUGAUGCUUGUCGUUUUCUUCUUCAUUUUCCUAGCUUAAAACAUCCUAGACAAUCUCUUUGGGAUGGUUUAGUGUUUCUGGCCUCUUCAUCUUCUAUUUGUGCUGUGGUAUUUAGUUUGCUGAUAUUCAUUGGGGAUUGAAAGGCCUCGUUUUAUGACUUUGUUUUCUUCUUAUUUCUUUAUUCUUUUGGGGAUGUGAUAUUUUCCUCUUUCUAUUUACACUAUUGGCUCCCUACAAUAUUUUUUCCUUCAGAGAAGUAAAUAUAUACAUAAAUAACAAGAACAGGAGGGGAAGGGGAGGGGGGUUUGACAAUAAGUAUUUGCUUAGAAGGGAAUGCUUCUUUGGUUUAGAAGCACCAUGAAGAUUCAGGCCCAUAUUUGGCUGGUUUCUUUAAUAAAGUACAUGAUAUUCCAUUUUUCAUGUCCUUGAUGUGCUUUUACUCUUCUUGCCGUUCCUGACUUUCUUUUUAGGGUAUAUUCUAACAUGCAAUAUGUUUUUUUUUUGUUGGCCCACUGUCCCAGGCGGAGAACCUGUCAUGGACAUGGGUGAUUGCAGAAUUCAAUUGCAGCCUGACUCACGGAAAAGAAUAGUCAAAAAUUUUUUUUAUUUAUAUGAAAGAAAAGGAGAAGGGCAGAAGGUUAAUUAAAAUCAGCAGGAUUGCCAUGAGGCAACCUCAAGUAUCACGCACCUCUUUUUUUUUUCAUCUUUUCAUGUGUUUCUCACAAGAAGCAAACUUGAGGGAACAUAAAGUGCUGGGAAGUAAUUUUUGUUGGAAUUUCUUGUCUAAUCUCUUCUUUUGAUGAUGACCUCUUGGAUGGCUGCAUGAAGCUUGUUCCGCUUUAAAUUUCAAGGUUAAUCUAUUGCUAUGAGCAUACGUGUUUCAAUUUAAAACUCGAGUUGCAACUGAACUUAAAUAAAUGGUGUUGGAUUUGUGCUUUCUAUUUGUUUUAACUUCUACAGGGUUGAAAUGAUAGUGAUCUUAAACUAGAAAAGCAGCAGACAAAAAUCAAUUAGCCACAAUGGUGUAUGGUUUCUCAGCAUAAAGUUGAAAUGAUAGUGAUCUUAAACUAGAAAAGCAGCAGACAAAAAUCAAUUAGCCACAAUGGUGUAUGGUUUCUCAGCAUAAAGUUGAAUGUUUUGUUGACCUCUUUACAUCCAAAAUCAUAUAGACAGCUACUGCUAGCACUUGCAGUGGUCAAUGAAUACUGUAGAGUAUAUAUUGCAGUGUGAGAUAAGGUUAACUCAUUGCAUUUUCAGAUAUUGAAAGGAUUUCUCUUCUUUUCUUUGUCAAUUACAGGACAUGCAUCGAAGUGUUCUUACUGAGAGUAAAUGCUAUUGUAAUGUUUUCACAGAGACUCCCCUGCUUUGCAACUAAGUCACUAAUAUAUCUUGGAACAUAGCCAUAAAUGAAAGGUUCUUCCAGAUCAAGAAAAUUAACCAUGAAGCUCGUAGCUAGAAUUUUUAGACAGAAAGGUGGCCAAGUACGCUGUACCUCUGGAAUAAUACAGGGAAAGGAUGUCUAUGUAUUUUGAUGUCUUAUAUUACUUGACCAACUCUUGCUUAUCUCAUUAUUUGUUUUUACUUUUUGCUAAUGAUUCCACACAUUUCUGAUAUUGGUGUGGUUUAUGAGUUUAGGGUUCUCGUUGCUGCUAACUUCUCUAUACUUUGCCUGGUCAUUAAAAAUCAAACGUAAUGAUUUGCAUAUGCAGAAUGGAGACAUUAAAAAGACAUCUUCUAUUUUCUGGUGAGGAGGGAUUUCAGGAACUCAAGAAAUUUUCCAUACGUUUUGAGGAAAAGAUUUAUACUACCGCUAACAAUCAGGUAUUUGCCUAAUGCGAGGUUCAAUAAUUAUGAUAUUAUCUAGACAUGAAUAUACACACGCAUUUAUGCUUGUACAAAUGUGUGUGUAGUGUGCCUACACUUCCUCACCGUUCAUUCUGUAUGCAAGGUUGAUUGGGAGUUCACAUCAUUUUGUUAAUUCUCUUGACAAGUGUUUUAUUUAGAGUGACCAAGUUCAAGUACAAGGGAAGAAUGCAAAAAGCAAAUAACGAAUCAAUACAUAAAUAAUUAAAUAAAAAGAGAGGUAACAGAAGUAUAUCCUCAUAGAAGAUGAAAUGAUAGAGUAUAUAUCUAUUUUCCUCCUCUGGUAACAUGGAUUGCUCUGAGAUCUACUGUUUUGUUAUUAAUAUCUGAUUUCAAUCUGAUUAUUUGCAUAAAAUAUCUCUGGAGAUGCUUUCGAUGGAGACCAGGUCUCAAAAUGCCAUGCUCACUACACCUAUGGAUCCAGCAGGUAAUAAUGCAGCCGAGCAUUGAAUUUCUAAAUAUCUUACCUUUUGUUUUUCUUCUCGCAUUGCUAUCAAACUCUUUUACAUUUUAUUGCUGCAUAUUGCUAUGUAUAUCGCCUUGCUGGAAAAAUCUCAUGAUCACCUCCACGAUGAUAAUUUUGUAAUGCAUGUGAAGUGUUUCAUCCUUAACUUGUUAAGGAACAAGGACUGUGAUGCAUGGUAUUUUAUAUUUUAUGAUUGAGAUGGUAGAUUUUAAAGAUUUUCAUGUUAAGGAGAUAAGACGUCACUUUCUUGCUUUUCUUCCGAGAGAGUAUUUGAUCCUUUUUUCAUAUAAAAUAAUGCUGGCAUGCAUUGAAUUUCCAAACAUCUUACCUUUUGUUUUGUUUGUCGCAUUGUUAUCAAACUCUUUUACAUUUUGUUGCGGCAUAUUGCUAUGUGUAUGGCAUGCUUUAAUCAAAAAGUUGAGUAAUUGAUGAAUGUUAGGCAAGAAAAUUACAGAUUAUUUUUAUUUUCUACCUCCUCCUUCUCUUUCCCCCACCCCGAAAAUGGUCAUAUUAUUUUUUUUUUCAGCCACCUCUUCUUCCCCCAACCUUGAAAAUUGUUUAUAUUUGCUUUGGAAGCAUGGCAAACUUCACUGCCUCUCAGCUUAAGGAGAUUGCAGCAGGUCUCGAAGCUUCUGGGCAUCAGUUUAUUUGGGUAGUUAGAAGAAACAAAAAGAGUCAAGAAGACAAGGAAGAUUGUUUACCUCAAGGAUUUGAGGAAAGAAUGGAAGGCAAAAGGCUAUUAUCAGAGGAUGGGCACUCCAAGUUUUGAUUCUUGAUCAUGAAGCAAAAGGUGCAUUUGUGACUCAUUGAGGAUGGAACUCAACUCUUAAAGGCGUAAGGCAAAUAUUUGAUGAGCAAUUCUAUAAUGAAAAGUUGGUGACUGAUGUUUUAAAAACUGGAGUUAAGGAAUGGCUUAGAGUGCAUGGAGAUCAUGUUAAAAGUGAAGCUGUAGAGAACGCAAUCACUCAAAUUAUGAUGGGUGAAGAAGCAGAGGAAAUGAGGAGCAGAGCAAAGAAGCUUUCAGUGCUUUGAUUUAAUAACUGCAAAAAAUGAAAGGUUGUUGAAGAUGGUGGAUCUUCUUGCUCCGAUUUCAAUGCUUUGAUUGAAUAACUGAGGUGGGGUAGCCUUUGAAACAGAGGCAUAGAAUAUAUAUAUAUAUAUAUUUUAGCUUUUUUAGUUUAACGUGGGUGUUCGGGCCAGCUUGCGCGCACCUCGACUAAUCCCACGGGCCCUGAAGUUAACGACCAUGUAAGUCUCCAGUGGCCAUCAUAUGAGCAACCACAGGGCUCGAACCUGAGACCACAGAGGGAGCAAACCUUUUAGUCCCAAGCUCUUACCACUGGGCCACCACCUAGAUGGUUAAGGCAUAGAAUAUUUUGUUUCUACUUAGUAGUGGUUUUGGUAAUUUAUUUUCAGACAAGUCUUGAGAGUUGAAAGAGUAAUCACAGCCGAGUCAAUGACCAAUCCAAAUAAGUUCCCUUCCUAAUGGUUCAGGAAUGACAAGUCCAGCAUAUAUAUUUAGCCCAAAUAACUUUUCAAAUAAAAUGGCUGAGCUUAGAGACAGUACACUACAAAUUAAGCACCCAUUAGCUAGACAUACAGGACAAACAAUCAUCACAAACUAGAAACGACUGUCUUCCCAGUAACAAACUCACCUUCUCAAGUUGGAGAACUUGCGAAAACUAGCUACUACAAUAUAGUAGCAAGUAUCUAUGCAGUCUUCGAUGAAGUACGACCACCUGCGUCGCCAAUAUGGAUUGAUGUAAAGAACUGCUACAAUCAUAAUCACCACGACUGUGUAACUUACACCGAAAUUGAUGUAGAAAAACUCCAUGUCUAUGAAACCAUCAUCUCCUUGUUCAUCAUUAGGCACUGGUUGUGAUGGCAUUGGCUGUGAUGGCACUGGCUGUGAUGGCACUGCUUCUUCACUACAAUUGUUUUGCAAUGGAGGUCCACACAAGAAAGGAUUUCCUUCGUAACAGCUUUCAUCGAAGGUCCCAAACUGAUAUUUUCUCUCGGGUGUCUUACAUGACAAGUUAUUGUACGCCACACUAAAAACUUCCAGUGUGGUAAUUUCAGUAAGUUGUGGAGGGAUGACACCAUUCAAGUUGUUGUAAGAAAGAUCCAAACUCUCAAUCUGUUUUAGGUUUGAGAAUGUUGCUGGGAUAGAUCCAGUGAGAUUGUUGUGUGAUAAGUUUAAUGACAAUAUCUUACUUAAGUUUCCAAAUUCCGGUGGGAUUGCUCCUACGAAGUUGUUAUUGGAGAGAUCAAUACCAGACAUGUAGUUGAGAGUCUUCCCCUUGUAACCAUAAUACAUAUUUUUAGUUGUAAAUUCUAUCACUUCUUCUGUAAAGUUAAGCAGAAAACCCUUUCUCAAGUUGUACAUACUCUCCACUAGUGGUGGACCCAUUGUUUCAUAAUAAGCUUUUUCUAUGGACCUUGAUAGAACACCAGCUCCGAGAUCCGUGAAUGCUUUCUGGGAACUUUCCUUGAAAGUAAGAUUGCCCAAACAGGAGGGUAGUGGACUAGAGAGCUGGUUUUGUGAAACAUCCAAAAUGCUUAAAUGUUCUAACAAGCAUAAUUGAACAGGGAGCUCACCAUCAAAGUGAUUAGCCCUCAGAAGAAGAACACUCAAUGAUGAAAGAUUGCCAAUCCAAUUUGGAAUGGAGCCGGUGAAGCUGUUAUCUUGAAGAUCCAUCGUAACUAAGAAAGAGCUGUUAUAAAAUCUAUAUGUUAAUGGACCGCUCAAUCUAUUUUCGGAUAGAUGCAUAUGGAUUAGAGUUGAUGGACUGAAACAAGAUGGUAUAUAUCCAGACAAGUUGUUCUCUGAAAGGUUCAAAUAUUCAAGUUGAUCAAGCUUACAAAAGUCUCUUGGGAUCGGACCCUUAAAAUGGUUUUUGGACAAAUCAAUUGCUGCAAGAAUCGUAGAAUUAAGAAAGCUCCUUGGAAGCAUGCCUGAAAAUUGAUUGUUACUCAAAUCCAAUACAAUCCACAUUUUCCACCUAUAUAAUGAAAAAUCUGAUAUCUGACCCCAAAAGUUGUUACCACCUAGAUAGAGAUAUUCUAAGGUAGAAGAAUUGAACAACGAGGUCGGUAAUUGCCCACCCAAAUUGUUGUUUGACAGCUUGAGAAACCAUAUUGUUGUUAGUUGUUCUAGUUUUACUGUGGACAAUUGAUUGUUGGAUAAAUCUAAAAUUCCCAAAGAGCUAAUAUUUCCUAAACAAGAAGGAAUACAACCUGUGAAUCCAUUCUUAGCCAUCCUUAAGCUCUUCAGAUUUUGAAAGAUCAAACAAAUAUCCUUUGGAAUUUGACCGCUCAUGUUGUUGUUGGAUAUAUCUAAUUCGGUCAUAUUUAGAUAUGGGUGAUUUGGCAACUGCAAAGUACCAACAAAGGAGUUCUCACUCAAAUAUAGUUGCUCCAAUCGUGUAUUGUUCUUAAGCAACCACGAUGGAAACAUUCCGGUGAUGUUGUUGUGGGAGAGAUCAAGGACUCUUAAGUCGUAUUGGUAAUAGAGGAAGUUGGGAAUCUCUACAUUGACUGCUUCUAUUGUUUUUGACAAACUAAAAAAGACUAGUUGGAACUUUGGAAUCAAAUGAUCAAAGGCAGCAGGUUCUGUUACUAGUCUAUUGUUCUCAUUGCAGAAGAACUUGAGGCUUGAGUGGUUCAUAAAAGGCUUCAUUGAAAUGGGAACUUCAAAGAGGUUAUUUGAUAGUGAGAGGAAUUCAAGAGAUGUGAGGUUGGUAAGAGGACCAGAGGCAAUAUUUCCAGUAAACUGGUUUUUAGAAACAUCUAAUAGUUGUAGAGAUGACAAGUUUCCUAAACAAUCUGGGAGUGAACCUUCUAAAUUAUUUCCAAAGAGAUCUAACUGCUUCAGAUUCUUCAAUUCACACCAACCUGUAUAAUUUAUCUCGAAACAGUCAAAAUAGCUAAAUAAUUAAAAGAUUACCAUAGAAGAGGAUGGAGUGUUGUUAAUUUACCUUGAGCGGGUAGGGUGCCAUGGAGGUCACAUCCACCAACAGACAAAACCUUAAGAGCAGGCAAUGCUCCAAUGUUCUGGAGAAAGUUUACUGGGAGAGAAGUACGAUCUAGAUUCAAUUCUUCAAGAGUGCUAGAAUUGAAGAAAGUCCCUGUGAAAAAGAAAGAAGAAGAGAUAUGAAGAAAAUAAUGGUGGUACAGAAUAGCCAUUCCAUUCAAUAUUAUUAAUUAAUAUUUUAAGAAACUAAACUAUGAUUAACCUUGACUUAAAUUAGUAUCCUUGAGAGAAAGGGUCUUCAGGGAUGGCAAUGACUGCAGGAAGUCCAGCUUCCUUAAACCUAUGAUGUGUAGAAUUGAAAACAGGCAAUCAAGUAAGUAGUGAAAUUAAGCGUUAUCUUGAUCGAGUUUUUAAACCUAUGAUAAAAAACUGAUAUUGAAUAUACUUUUAUAAUGAUAUGAUUUUUGGAUAGAAACAACAAAUUGCCUGAAAAAUCCAGAGAUUUCAAAAGGUAUUGUUAAAAAAUGAAGUAAAUAAUAUUCACAACUUUACCAUUGACAGUCGUCGAUCCUAGCAACAUAUUGCCUGAUAAAUUUAAAGACUUGAGAUAAGAAAAUCCACGCAGAUGUGAUAAAAUGCUGUCGUUGAAUAUAUUAUAGCUCAAGUCCAGGUUCUCGAGUUUCCCUAAAUGUGAUGAUAUGAUCUCAAAACCUGCAAGAGUAAGUCAUCAUGAGCUCACGAUAUGCAUAAUAUAUAGAAACUAAAGAUAAUUAGAAUUGAUGAGAUGCUGUUGUUCAAUUGAUAUAUGAUUCUCAAAUUAUACAUAAAAAUAAUGAUACAUGAACGCAUAUGUCAUUAUAUAACAGGUUGUGCACACUUCAAAGAUUAAGAAACAAUUUUUAAUCAUUCUAAUUUUGAUCUUAUUGGAAAAAAAAAA
Molecule: long non-coding RNA, 58157 nt
Filed under: Populus trichocarpa (black cottonwood)
Lineage: Eukaryota; Viridiplantae; Streptophyta; Magnoliopsida; Malpighiales; Salicaceae
Description: long non-coding RNA (PTRI_LNC000856)
Source: RNAcentral